Molecule: long non-coding RNA, 58497 nt
Filed under: Coffea arabica (coffee)
Lineage: Eukaryota; Viridiplantae; Streptophyta; Magnoliopsida; Gentianales; Rubiaceae
Description: long non-coding RNA (CARA_LNC006685)
Source: RNAcentral
CUUUUUUUUUUUUUUUUUUGUGUCGGAUAUAUCUCUUGAGGUAAUUUGCAGCAGCAUCACUAAUGGAAUCACUUUGGAUGAUGAUUCAAGUAUUUGGAUGAAAAUGCUGUGAUUAUUGACGUGAUUUGCUCAAUCAUCUUAGGACUUUUUUCCAGUGCCUCACUACUGGCUUUUUAUUUCUUGCAUGAACUCAAUUUUGGGGCUGAAGAUCCCAGUAGGCAGUAGCAUGCCUCAAGUUUUUUGCAAGGUAUCUCCUAGCAUCAAGGAAUUGUUAAAUCUUUUCUUCAAUAACCUUUUUUUUUUUUUCUUUUCCAUAAUUUUGUUAUAGUAGUUACUUCACCUUCCUUUGUUCAUUUUAAUUCAAUUUUGUGGCUGGCUGGUCGCCAUCAGGGGGAAGGGGAUUGACACAGAUCCAAUUUCCAAACACCAAAAAAAAAAAAAAAAGGGGCGAUCCGGUUUCAAGAUUGAGGAGUGGUUGGCCCAGUCGCGUAAAUUGUAUGAUGGCAGAUGCAAGAAGAAGAGGUGGAGGGAGGGCUUUAAAUUACAGAAAAGUGAAGCAAUUGCUUAUCAAUAGUUAUACAAUGAUUGCAGAAGGAAAGGAAGACCCAAAAAAAAAAAAAAAAAAAAUCAAUUUUAGUAAGUUACGCUUGUCUUCAGGGUUGUUGGAGUUGGAGUUGGGCACAGUUUUAAAUAAUGCUGCUUGCUAAUUAACUAGUAAUCCUGAUGAAGUAUGUAAUGGCCAUAUAUAUGUAUGUAUGUAUAGUAUUUUACCUAUCAAGUAUUAGUUGAUGAAGUCAUGAAAGAUGCCAAUUAUCCAAAAUGGUUGACUAUUGCAUGCAGUACAGCUAGCCAGGCCGGUGAAAAUGAAGUACCACCAACAUUGGCUGUCAAGCAAUAUUUGGUGAACGGUAUAAAAGAUGUUUAUACAACAAGAUUAGAAAGAAAAAAGAAAGUAAUUAACAGUCAAAUUUGAGAAUCGAAUAGCACAGCCCUUUUUUUUUUUUUUUUACUUUUAGAUUAUGAAUUUUGAGGUCAGAUUUGUGUUAUAAAGCGGUGGGUGGAUUCGGUCAAGAACAACAGUCAAGAACCAUUGCAAAAAUUCAUACGCUGUUUUGAUUUUGGUAAGCAAUCAAGCAAGGUUGGUUGCUGAUUUGCAUUCAUUGUUCCAUCCUCUCUUCUUAAUUCUGAGCCUUUCUCUCAUCAAACACAUACACUAACUGGUUGCAAGAAACGGUGUGCAAUUUUGUGAUCAACUUGUACGUCUUCAAAGUCCAAAGCCGUCACCAAACCAAUCAUAUAUAUAUAUUAUAUGCAGAUAAUAACAUUCCCAAGUGGAGCAUGCUCAGACAUGUACAGAGUCAUACUUUCUGGCCAACACCUAAUUAAGAGCUUUCCAAAUAUGGACCCCUAAUAUGAGGGGAACAGACAAGGGACGCCGUGUUUCACUACGGAAGCUUUUAAGUUCCCCGUUACUACAACUAGCUACUUCCACAAUUUGGAACAUGCAAACAAAACCCUCUUGGGAGUUCGAGUACAAAGCAUGAUUAGUUGCGCUCGAUCUACUUUCUUUAUUUCGUAAGGUUGGCAUUCCUCUUUUUUUCGCAGUACCACUGACUUUUCUUGCUUUCAAUGGGAACCACGUACCUGGACAUUCUUCACAUUCUUUCCUCAAUGCUAAGCAAUAUAUGUAAUACCUGCGCCUCGCGCCUUGUGAUAUUUUUGGUGUCAUUCACUAGACAAAGCAUCCUGUGAUGGCGAUCUAACGACAAGUCGCCCAACAAAGAAUAAAUUCCAUUCAACUUCUUACACUAAAGUUUCUUUACAUUUCUGUACUCCUUUUCCAAAUUCCAAUUGUCUUUCGCUAUCAUCUUGCUGAUUCCUUUUUUUUUUUUUUUUUUAAAAAAAUUAAAGGCCUUUUUUUUUCGUGUGUUAGGUACUAGUGAUACUGCCCACAGCUCUCACAAUAAAACAUGAACUAAAACAAAGUGAUCGAAGUUCGAAUUUGAAGUAAAUUAACGGAUGCCACCGGUGCGAUCUUUGUCUUAUUAAUCACCGCCUCAAGGAAGGAUGGACGUACAAUUCUUGGUUAGAUUUUCGCUUUAAUUUUAGUGUCUACUUUGCUUUCAUCUGGGUUUGCCGCCGGGAAUGUUGCAUCGUGGUGGAUGGAAAAUUAUGAGAUAUACGCUCAACAAUUAAUCCAUAUAUGAUCGAUCAUCCAACACAUAAGUGGCGCGCAUUAAAUAUCUGUCGAAGACAAAUUAAACUAACUUGAAAGGUUCAAAAGCUGCGGCUGGUGGGAAGGUAAAGUAACAGUUGUGGGGACGAGAACAGCUUUUGAAAUAGAAUUUGUUGCAGUUUAGGCAGCAAACACGGCUUGAAUUCCUUAAAACAAGACUUAUUCUACUGCUGAUGACGUUGACUUGUCCACUCCAAUGCUAUGAUUUAGUCUUCUUCAUUGACAUUAAUCCCCACAACAAUAACAUCGUCGGUAGUCUCCAACAAAGACUGCAUGUCGUUCAAUCAUACCACCAAAAAUCCCUUGAUCAAACCCUGAAAAUCCAUUCGAACUCGGGCUAGCUACUAGAUAUUGCUUCUUCUACUCUCCCUGAUAUAAAAUGCGCUUAAUAAAUUAAUUAUGCUGUUCUCACCGAAAUUCUUUAGCAAAUUUAGCUUUGCUGCAUGGAAUCUAACGAGAUUACACUGAAUGUGCCCUUACCGAACAGCUAGCAUCAUGAUAGUUUGAUGAUGGUCGGAUUUUUGUGUAGUUGAACCUCGAGUUUUCCCUCCCUCAAUGAGUUUUUCACUUUCUUGUCCUAAAUCUUGACGUGGAAUUAAAUAGGCAAGGGUAUAGGGUUUUUUGUUUUUGUUUUUGUUUUUUUUUUGGCCCCCUCCAACGCCAUCUGAUUAAGAAAGGAAAAAUGACAAAGUGCAGCAGUAGUCUGUAGCCAUGUAAAACAGAUACUAGCUAUAUGUUAUGUGGCCACUAAUAUCAAACCAUUUUGAAAGCCAGUGAAUAGUAGAUAUAACAUAAGUGAAAUGACAAACUGGAGCGACAUGCAUUUCGACAUAUGAGCUUUUCUUAACAAUAAAUGUUCCCCUCAAAGCUGUAAUAGAACUGUUAUCCAUCACCGUUAGAGCAACUGGCCGGUGUUCUUCCUCUUUUCUUUUAGCCUGUUGUUUCUUAAAUGGAGUACAAAUCGAACGCAUACGCUAAUAUGUUUAAACAGCAUUAUGAGUCCAUAUCACAAGAUAUAUAGAUCGUCAGUUAACUUCUGAGUAGCUUCCAAGAAGGCAUGACAAAGGGUUGAGGUAAUAAAAUAAAAACAAUUUUAACUCUUACGAUUAGGGGUGUGCAAAAUCGAAAAAUUCCGAUUUACCGACCGAAUUCGAAUUGAAUUCGGAAUUUUCGAAAUCGGUAAAUCGGAAAUCGGAAUCGAAUUCGGAUUUUCCGAAUUCAUAUAUUUCGAAUUUGGUUCGAAUUCGGUAAUGGAGUUUUUCAAAUCGGAAUUCGAAUUCCGAUUUCGAUUUCAAAUUCUUUUUUAAUAUAUAAAUAUAUUUUUUAUACAUGUAAUAUAAAAUUUAUACUAUAUAAUAUUUUAUAAAAUUUAUAAAAUAUAAUAUAAUAUAAUAUAAAAUUUAUAAAAUUUAUAUAUUAUUAUAUAUUAUUAUAAAUUUUAUAUUAUAUAAUAAUAUAUAAAUUUUUCCGAAUUCGGUGAAAUCGGUGAAAUCGGAAUUUACCGAAUUCCGAAUUGAAUUCGGUACGAAUUCGAAUUCGGAAUUGGUGAAUUCGAAAUCAAAUUCGGUCGAAUUACCAGGUACCAAAAUUUCGAAAAAUUCCGAAUUCAAACUUCCGAAUUACCGAAUUCGAAUUCGAUGCACACCCCUAUUUACGAUUGAGCAUCUUUUCAUUUGAUAUCCCGGAUUUCACACUUCAUGAAAUUGCUACCUGUUACCGAAAUAAGACAAUCAGAAGGAUAAUACUAGCUAGGGAUGUAAUUGAGUCGAGCCCGAGUCAAGUUUUUGACUGAAUUGCUCGUGAGCAGUUUGAUUACAGCACUAGAUAAAACUAUUACUCCCUCCGUCCCACUUUGUUAGUCUUGUUUUCCUUUUUCGUCCGUCCCAAAUUGUAGUCCACUUUUCCAUUAAGAAAUGUAGUAAUCUUUCAAAUUGUCUAAAAUACCCUUAUUAAAUAUAUUGUUAUUAAUACAUUGUUAUUAAAUACUAACCCACUACAUUGAAUACAUUGAGUUUUUCCAAUACAUUGAAUACAUUGACUACAUUGAUUAGCAUAAGGGUAUUUUAGGAAAUUAUUAAUCUAAAUUUAUGUUUCCAACCAAAUUAAUUACACUUUCUUAAUCUGUGUGAAAAAAAAACCAAGACUAACAAAACGGGACGGAGGGAGUACAAGAUUUAUGUACAUGCUGCUACCAGAACUCAAAUUAGACAGAUUGAUGUACAAUAGUAUGUAUCAAGAGAAGGAAUACAAUUUAGCCAAAUUGCUUGUGCUGUUCCGAGCUGCAAAAAGAUUAUGCACUACGUACUAUAUUAUAUUUCCGAAGUACUUUAGUCAUAAAUUUUUGCUUGUGCUUUAGUUUCAAACAAAGUUUAAAGACCAAAUUUGGGGGAUGGGAUAGACUCAACAAAUCCGACGGUAUUGAGGGGAUAUUAAACCAUCAUCAUUUCAGAUUCCCGGGCUUUUGGUCCUGAGAUGGGAUUUAUAAAUUGGGGAUUUAUAAAUUAUAAUCCGGAGAGUAAAUGAUUGGUGUGUAUUAAAUUUAUAUGAAAUGAUGGACAAGUACAACGUUUGGUUUUAGUGCUCCCACAGACAGAAAAACAACGCAAGGAAAAGUGAAAAAGAGAGUCUACCAAUUAAACAAAACAGGACGACAACUCACUCUUUCAUUUAUUUUGUUCCAAAACUUGCACACAAUUGGACAAGAGCAAGCAGCUGCUAGAUCGUAUGGUUAGGACCCCCCCCCCCCCCUCAUCCAUCCAUCCAUCCAUCCAUCAAUGACAAAAUCUUACUAAUAAAUUUCCACUUAAAUCACUCCCAACCCCAACACAACUCCCCCCACUGUGCAAUCCAGCAGAUGGGCUCUAGCAACUACCGGCCUACUUCCUUCGUUCAUUCAUAGUAUUUUAUUCUUUGGCUGCCCAAAUUAACAUAUGAGAAAAGUUUUAUAUAUUGUAUAAAUAAAUUUGUAGAUAGAUGGUCAAUUAGUCAUGGCGUUGGAAUUGGCUGGAACCCAAAAUAAUGGAAACGCCUCUAGGAGCAAGUUCUGUGGUCAUUUAUGCAUGCCCUUUUUCUUGUUCUAUAUUUUUUUUUUCUUCCAAAAAAUGGAGCUGCAUUUGCAUAAUUCUUUUUUUCCCUUUUUAGGUCUCUUAAAAUGGAAUGGCAUCCCAUGGAAGCAGUCUAGAAAUCUGACUAGUCAAGAGAGGAGGGCAUUAAUGAUUAAUCCCAUGACCUACGGGUCAAUGACAAUAGUACAUAUAGGACAGGGAAUUAUGUCCAAUUAAUUGGAUGGAAGGAGUCAAGAAAUUCCAUUCGUCGAUGCAGAAGUGCUUUGAUCCGUUGACCUAUAGUUCAAUAAUAACAAUAAUUUUAUUCAAAAAAAAAUUAUGUCGAAUUAACUGGGAACAUAAUAGAUUUAUUGACGCCAAAUUUGUUUUAGUCGUGGUUUAAAUUUACAUUGAAAACAUUCAUUCAGGGCAUUAUUAUCUUGAUAUGUUGUUGUACAUGGUUUGUUUAUUUAAUACAAUAUGCGAACUAGUUGGAUCCGCAAUUAAUUAAGUGUUUAUUCAAUUAUCGGUCAGCAUUUCAAACGACACACGCUCGGUAGUAACUUUUUAUCACACUUCACUAUUCUUUCGGAAGCGACCGGUGUUAUGUUCCACGGAAAGCAUUCUCUCCGACCAUCCCAAUUCCCUAUUCCAAGGGUAAAAGGUAAAUAUAGUACUCCCUCCGUCCCACCUUGAUAGUUCUGUAUUUCUUUUUCAUCUGUCCCAAAUUAUAGUCCACUUUCCAAUUGACGAAUAUAGUUGUAUUUUAAUUUUUCUAAAAUACCCUUAUUCAAUGUAAGUAGUUGUUACUAUAAACCUAUCCCAUUUAAUGAGAGUUGAUUCUUUUGUACCAUCCAUUCAAGUUCCCAUAAAAUUGUACCAUAUUUAAUAUGAGGGUAUUUUAGGAAAAUAGCAAUCUAAAUUUACAUUUCCAACAAAAUUAACUACUUUUUCUUAAACUGUGUGAAAAAAUAAACAGGACUAUCAAAGUGGGACGGAGGGAGUAGUAAUAUAUGUAUAUAUAUAAUUACAAGUAAAAGUAAAAAGAAUGGUAGCGGUGCCAAGAAAGCACGCAAUUAAUUGAAAUUACACUCUUUUAAAUGCCUAAAAGUAGACGAAAAGUGCCUUUUCCUAGACAAGAUUACAAGCUUUUAAAGGGUUGAUGAUUGAUGAUGCAUCAAUAUUUAGUUUAGUAACUAUCAUUACAUUUAGAUAGUAUGAUUGACAAAUUAUCAUUCGAUCAUCACAACAAUCGAGUAGUAGCUAUUAUUAGUUACUAGUAAUAUUCAUCUUGGAAAUGCUAUCAAGAAACAUAUAUACUAUGUCAAAAUCCUGACGUAAUUCAUUUGAAUCGAGACAUGAAAAUGAAAUAAGUUCUCUAUUCUAUUGCUGCGAAUCCAGAAGUUUGAUGCCGCGCCUGUUAGACUCACGCGGUCGUUUAUUAGGCAAGAUUAGUUGACACGGUAGACUAAAGUUUUGAUUCUUCUGCCCUUCGACAAAUUGCCACAUUAUUUUCAGGGACCCUCCUCUGCUUUGUUGAAGAGGGGAGACCUCCAUCCUGAAAAUGAUAGUCUAAGGCAUUAUUAAUGCACAACAACAACCUUGCCAAAAUAAAUAAAUGAAAAAGUACCAUUUUGGAUUUUUAUUUUUUCAAAAAAAUUUUACCUUUUUUCUAUGAACAUAUGUUUUAUUCAUAUUUUUACCUUGCGUACAUCAAAUUGGUGCAAUACAUUUUUUUUUAUAUAAAAACUCCAGAAAAUAGCAAUUCAACUGGAUUCAACGGAAGAAACAAACAAGAAAUUGUCGGUACUCGCACAUAAUUAGCUAUUUUUGUAAAUUCCCAAAUAAAUUUUUAUUAAAAUUCUAUGAGAGCCAAAAAAAAAAAAAAACAACAUUUGUAUAGUCAAGAGUCAACCCGAGCAUCCAUAGUUUUAGUAUGGCGUUGUGGGAGUGACCCCGGCUUCAGCAAGUCAAGUUUAAAACUAGACUUAGCUGGUCUUCCUCAUGCAUGUGCCUGUAGUACUACGCUUCCUUUACUCUGCUUCUCAAUUCAUCAAAGCUGUUCUUCUUUGACUACUCUGCAUUUCACACUAUCAAAUAAUCAAAUCAAACAUCAGUAAUAAAUGAUUUCACUAAACGGACGACAAAAUAAAGACCCAAUCGAAAAAUGCCAGAACUUUCACCCCCUCGCUAGCUUGUGACGACGCUUAAUAAAAAAAUUCAUUUUCAUGGCUGGCACUCCCAUUUCUUCCUACCUUCACAAAAGGGUGAACAACAGUCUCCUAAUGCUGACAUCUCGAAACAAAUAAUGGAUACCAACAGGAGAACUAGCAGAAAUUGAAGAUACAUAUCUAUAAAUAACGAUUAACAGCUCAGAUAAUAACAUCUACUGAAAAUAACACGUCCAAAAGCUAGGUGGGUACCUUUUAGCCUCAGCCAGAUAGAUACUCUGAUGGAUGAUCCAUUUCUACCUCGAAAUCAUGACACAGAACCAUCAUAAUGGCCUUCUACUUCUGAGUAUCAAAUAUCACUCUCGUGAGUAUCAAAUAUCACUCUUUUGAUAAUGGGCUUUAUCAACCAAUUUCAGUGCAGAAUAAAACAAAACAGAGACAGUAAAGCGGAAGGCAUCCAUCAACUCCUAAUCCACAUUGAGUUCAUGGCUAAUUGGCCACAGACUUGUACUUUUACAGCCCAGUGAUCACUCCACCACCAGUAGCUUGCACGCUUAUGCUAGAGCACUGUACAAUAAUAUCCCAAACAGUUUCGUCCCAUGUCUUAGAAUUGGCCAGCCAGGGCGGUGAAAGCAUAUCGAUCGUCAUCCAGAAAUGGUACUUGGAAAUAAAAUUAAGAACAAGUCUCGCAUAAAUUACAAGGAAAAGGAGAAAGAUACUCAUUAUUGGCGCAAUAAAAGACGCUUGCUAAUUAUAGAGAAACAGAGAAGUAACAAGAAGCUGCUAUACUACAGUCUCUGUGCAUCCGAAACCAUGGUCACUAGAAUAUUCAUAAGGAAAAUAAACUCAGACCAUAUUUUUCAUCCAACAUCUUUUCUACUGCUCGUGAAAAUAGAUCAGUGAAAACUUCUCAACUCACACUUGCACAUCUGUAACUUUUCCUAACGUCUUUCUUCGCUCUCCGUUUUCAGCUAAUUUCUGUUCCAUAAGAAACUUCUGCCGCUGCUCAAUAAUACCGUCGAUCAUCCGAUUGAAAUCUUCGUCGCUCAUAUUGUCCACCGUGUCAAAUGACGUCGCCUUUGGCCUUUCGGUCCUUCCUCGACCGACCUGAACCGUCUCCGACCGUCGGAGCUCUCCCUGCGGCUUCACCGCGAUCUCUCUCUUCGGCUUCUCCGACUGCAUCCUCUGAAACUUCUCAAUCCGUUUUGCCGCCGUCUCUAUGGCCGUCGUCACAGCGUCGCAUUGCUCCGCCUUCUCCUCCGUCCACAAUAUGAUCUGCUUCUCCUCCGCUUCGCCUCCAUCGCCGCCUCCUGCGCCUGCAAUCACGUCCAUAGUCUCCGGCGUAGCAGGAAUUUCUGGCGGAGGAAUGUUAACGCCUCCCGAGCCUGCAACUUUUUGCUGUGGAGCAUGAGCCUGGCUGUGACGGGCAUAUUCGUCGUAGAGAUCAUCGUCGCCGGAGUUCUCGCUACCGGCGCCGGUUCUUCGACAGAGGAAAAAGAGCGCGACGAUGAUGACGUUGCCGAUGAGAAAAACGACAUGCGGAUUAAACAGAUAGUCUGCAACUUCGAACAAAAUCCUCCCGGAGAUUUUCAGCGCUCCGGGAAGACGGGUGGAGGACCAGGAAAUCAACAGGAGCGCCACCAAAACUUCCAGAAACUGAAAAAGUUUCAUAGUCCUCCGGAAACGGUUAUACCUGGCCAUCGCCUUCGCCUUCUCAAAUUUCACGUUGUCGAACACUUGCUCUUGAGAAUCCAUUUUUAAAUCCUCCUCCAAACACGCUGAUUAAAUCUCGAGUGAGUGCGGGAAAUGAAGAGAGUUACUCGGUAAAUGGCAGUAGAAGUUGGAAAGAGUCGAGACUAUUUGUGAGGGGGCGGUGGAUUUAAGAAAGGAAGGAGAGAAUUUGGAAAAGAGAAAUGAUCAGCGGGAGUUAAUUUGGAAAAGGGGAGAAGGGAGAAAGGAAAAGGGAAGAGAGUAGAAGCAAUAUAUGCAGAAGUGCAUAUAACUAUAGAAACAGAUACUAUCAUAUGCAUAGAAACACAGAGGAGAGGAAAACACACACACUCACACGCGCGCGCACACUAGGAGAAAGAGGGAUAGGCAAUUUGUUGGUGUAAAUGAGAGGGUAUGGUAGGUUUUGGAUGCUCGAAUGAAUUUUGUGUUUGGUUAUGGAGGAAAUGCUCUGAUGAUGGAAGGAAAGUUUACAGAGCAAGGCAUGGUUUUAUAGGCGCGGAGCAGGGAAGAGAAUCGUCGGGGUCCAUGGGGUAAGUGGAGCCAAGAGAAACUUGUUUUUUGUAUUUCUUUUUCUUAUUAUUUUUUUCUCUUAUGGUUGUUUUUGAAUAGGUCUACACUUGCUACUAUUAUGGUUUAUGACUUUCUCGCUCUUUCUUUUCUUCUCUCAUGCUAUGAUUUACGAAUUGUGACUCCUUUCCAUUUUCUUCACAUAUGAUAUGAUAUGGUUGUCAUCUUGGCUCUUUUUUAGAGCAACAAGGAGGCUUGGCUUACAAUUCACUAGUUACUUUUCCGGGACAUGAACAAUAAUCGUAUGCUACUAAUCAUUUCUAAUUACACGGGACGAUGAAGAGGGUCAAUUAACAAUUAUAUGCACGAGUGUGUUUGGACAGUGAAUUAUUUAAUACUUUUUACGAUAUGAUACACAUAUUUGCCCGUAAUCCUGUUUUUUCAUGCGGAUAAAAGCUUUAUAUUUACUCAUUAUUGAUUGCUCGUGACCCUGUUUCAUGCGAAUAAAGUCUUAGGGCAUGUUUGGAUUGCAUUUUCCGUCAUUUUUCAUGGAAAAAUUACUGUAGCGAUUUGAUCUAUGUGAGAGAAAAAGGUGAUAGGGAAAUAUGAUCACGAAAAACGACAAUAUUUUCCGACGAAAACAAGCAAUCCAAACACACCCUUACAUUUACUCAUUAUUGGUGCAAAUCAAAACUUAGAACACCCUGCUAUGCUAUCGAGCAUUUUUUUUCUCUCCAAUUCAAUGAUUCAUUGUCACUUGAGCAAUGUUUUGAGAGAGGCUGAUGUUUCUAUUUGAAAAGUUCUUUAGUUAGGGAACGAAUUAGAGAGAAAAAGUUUUUUUUUUUUUUUUUAAAAAAAAAGGGAAAAAGGACGGUGGUGGUUUUUGCUAAUAAAACAGGGUGGUUGUGCGGUGGGAGGAAGUGUGAAGUGACAUUUUUUUUGUUUGUAACAUAACCGCGUGUGAGCCAAACCGGGGCAGAGUGUAAAGCCGCGAGACCAAGACCACGCCCACGCGUGGAAUAGUAGUCUAGUACCGUACCUAAGUUAGUUUUUGGGUACAGCUUUGCUUUGUCAGUUUGUCCAAGGACGGGAUGUUCUUCCUACAACCUCUAGGCUUUUUCGCUUUUAAAUUAUGCUGUUGGGUUUGUUAUGUUUCUCAGAGCUCAGAAACCGGGAAAAGAAUCAGGACAAAGAUUAUUUAGAUUUUUCUUCUUUUGCCUUUUGGGGAAAUUUUUCUUCCUUCUUUCCACAUUUGGUGCUUGAAUUACUAAAUUCUUAUGCCCCUAGUGUACAGUAAUCAGUAUUGGUUGUCUGGCCUGGCGUGCAAUAAUGGGUUUGAAGAUGUUGAUGAACAGAGGACUUGGUAUGCGGUGCGAUGCUUGUAUACCUACUACUGUAAUCUUGUGAGUCCCAUGCAAUGCCCAAAAACCAACAGUGCGUGAUCCCGAGCCACUACAACUACAAGAGAGGAUGCUUGUGCUGAGAACAACAACGAUGCAUCGGAUGAUAAAGCUGAAUUCUGAAAUCUGAAUUCAUUAAAGUAUUGAAUUAUUAAAUAUUAAAUUAAAUACAUAUGAGUGUAUCAAUUUUUUGAUAUCAAAUGCGUCUGAAUAUAUUAAAAUCUGAAUUCAUUAAUUUUAAGUGCUAAAUUGAGUUAUCAAACAGGAUUUAAAUUCUUCUCUUUAGUGUAAAAGAAAAAAAGAAGAUAAAGAAAAGUAGCGGAGUAGGAAAAGAUUGAAGUCAGGUUCAAAAAUCUCGUUACCUAUUGUGAUAGGUUCCUGUAAUUGGACAUGACAUAGACUCUCUAUCUUAGCAUAUAGUAGAAUUGAUCUAUGAAUAAUGGAUAUCACGGCUUGAGAUUAUGAUUAGGUGCAAAUUUUUUUUGUUGCCUUAAAAGACGUGCACAAUUAUAUGGUAUUCAACUUUGAGGGAUUGAAUUACUAGCUAGUAGUAGUAGUAGAAGUGGUUGGUGACUGAGCGAAACUUUCCUUGAAGGCACGGUCAUGUUCCAAUGAGCCUUCCAUCUUCAUAUGCUUGCCAGUUGCCAUCAGUAGUGUUUCUUUUUUUUCCGGACACUGAAAUAAACGCACACACAUAAUUAAUUAGAUUAAGCACGAGAGUCAAUCUAAGGGGAUCCACAGAGCAACCCGAUCCAGCCAAUUGGUGACAAGACGGACACCCCAUGAACCUUAAAUCCAAGAUGAAAACCCCACGAUCUUUCGAUGUGGGAUAGAAGCCCAAUCCCCCGUGCACACCCUCACCAAAUAUGGAAUUGUUUUUUCCGGACACUGAAAUAAACACACACUUAAUUAAACUAAGCACGAGAGUUAACAGAUAAAUCGACCCAAUAAACAAUCAGUCUAAAGGGGACCCAGCCAUCAGUAGUGUUUCGUACAAGUACGAAUUGAGUACUACUUCUACUACUACUAUUUUGCAUUUUCUGAAUUUCUACAUCUACUGCUACUACUUGUUUACUUAGCAACCAGAAACAAAUCUGCGACCAAUUCCUGUGGGAUGGUAGAGCUCACCAGCCAUCAAAAACCUGUCCAGCAACCAAAAAACAUUAGAUGCCAAAAAAUGCAGCAGGCAGGCUGGCUGAUUUGACCUGUCUAAGACCGAGAGGAGGGUCUGUAAUGGUUGAAAAAUUUUAAGUAAGUUAAAAUCGAUUGUUUCUUCACGUCCCACUGUCGACUCGACGGUGCCCAGCACCUCACCCUCCCCGACGGGGGCCGCCAGUCCACUUCCUUCCUCCUACCCUCUCAGCUAUUUCAAUCAUCAUGGCCAAAAAGACAAUAAUAUCAUUAGAAGCUCAUUGGCUAAUAAUCUGAUACCCUCUCAGCUAUUUCAAUCAUCAUAGCCACUUCCUUCCUUCCCCCUUUUUUUCACAUAUAUAUAUAUAUAUAUAUAUAUAUAUAUAUAUAUUUUUUACAGGGAGCGAAAAAUGUAGCUGAACGAAAUGUGGUAGAAUAUAUAUAUAUGUUUAGCAAACUCUUUAACUGCCAUACAAUUAAUUAUACACUCAAGUAAAAGAAUAUUUGUAAAGAAUUGGGGUCACAUUAAUUAAACAUAUCCGUUUAAGGAAAAUUAUAUAUAGUACUAAAAUCUCGGGUUUCUUGUCCGCUUUUUCUUCUUUCUUCCGCCAUUCAAAAUCAUUGCGGUGAAUAUGCUUUUGAAGCCAAAGAGAAAAAGUGAAACUUCACAAAUAAAAGGAGCAGUGAAACAAAAGAAAAGAUCACUCCGAUACAAAUUCUGGUCAUUGACGUGAAGAUGAAGAGUCCAAUUAUGUGUUGCAUCAUGCAUGGGAAAUUUAGGUGAAAAGAAAGCUAAAAGUAGCCUAACACUAAUGUACUUUGAGACCUUUCCUACAAGACAAGACAAGACAAAACAAACCCAUGAACUCGUGUGGAUCUGGAUCUUUGUUUGAAUUGUAAGUUUUUUGAGAUUAUUUGAAAGAUUUUUACUGUAGCACUUUUUGUGAUGUGAUGUAUGUGAGAUAAAAAGAUAAUUAAAAAGAUAAAAAGAUGUAUUAAAAAUUGUAAUGAUGAUGUAAGCAAAUAAAACUGGAUAAAUAAUGCACAAUCCAAACGACCUAAGGCCGACCAUGAUUUGAGAUCAUCGCACAUUCACUUCAAGUUGCAUUUGCCCUGAAAUUUGAAUACCCCCUUCAGCUUCAUGUCACGCGUUACCUAUCAUCCCUACCCGUUGCUACCUCCACCUUUCUCCAAUUCCCAUUCAUGACGUACAUGACCCAAAGAAGAAAAGAAUCAUUAUCUGGUCUGACAUGGAUUCUGGCAUUCAUUUUUUCCUUUUUUAACUUGGCCUUGCCCACUUCGCGUAGACAGCAUAACAAGAUUUAUUACUGAUUAACCUGUAAAGAUUCCAGCCUCCCUUGCAAGAAUUGGACAAAAAAAAAAAAAAUGGAAAAAAUUGGAUUGGGUGACGAGAUGAGAACGAUGGCAAGUGAAAAAUCAUAAAUUUAAGAUCUCGAACGACGAAAAUACUAUGUAUGUGACCGAACUUAGAGGCUAAUGAUUUACAUCAAGUAACAUACUUUCUUCUUCACGUGUAUGUGUCGAACUAAUUUACGAAGACCCCCCCUCUCCCCCUCCCCCCCCCAAAUAAAAAACAAACAAAAGAAAAAAAAACAACAAAAGGAAAAAAAAAAAACAACUGGAGAAGCUUUGAUGAGUCAAAACUUGACAAGUGCCUAUUCCAAAUUGUUCAUGGCCAAUAUCUAAUUUCUACGGAGGAAAAUGAUUGGAGGCACCCGUCAAACACGUCAUUUCUAUUGCAUGUCUUCAUGAAUUUAAAGAAAACCUCUUGUCACGAUUCCUAGUGCUCUUUUGCGUUCAUUCACGAGCUAUAUAUAUAUAUAUAUAUAUACCCUUUUUGGAUUAAUCAAAAUUACUUUUGUUUUAUCCAGCUACAUAGUUCUUUUUUCCCCCCGGUAAGACUUAUUGCCAUUUUCCGAUGAUAUUGAUUUUAUGUACAUUGGUACUGCUAUAAUAUAGUCAAUUUUUGUGUUUAUACAAAAGAAUCCUACAUUAAUCUUUUAGGGUUCUAUGGAAUAUCGUUUAAUGUGAUUUUAAACCUAAAGGUCUGUAUUCUCUUUUGCAUGCAAGAAUUGUUUUUUUGAUAAAAAAAAAAGAAGUCAAUAUUAUUAAUAAACUACAUGAAAAUCGUCCAACAUGAUUUUCUUAACAAAGUAAUCUAUAUUAAUGGCAGAAAAUAUAUUGACUAUGUCACAGACAUAUUUGAUCUGAAAAAUCAUUAGAAUUAAUAGAGUUACACAAUAUAAAAGAUUAUACUGUAAAUUACAAAUCAUCAAAUCUGACUAAUUGAACGAGUUGCUCCAUAGAUAUUUGUGCAUAUCUAUUCUCUCAGAUCUGCUAUCCAACUGAUUUAAGUUCAAAACUGACGUUGACAUCUGACGAGAAGACCAAAAAAUUCUAAAUCUAACAUAUAGAUCUAAAAAAACUCUUAGAUCUGAGAAAAAAUAACAAAAACUAAACAAAACUCUCACUAGGAUAACGUAGAAGAGAAGAAAACUCUCACUAAAAUACAUUAGGAGGGACUUUAUUAAAUAAAAAGCAAGAAUAAUAGGAUACGAAGGGAAACCUAAGUUUAAGGCCAACAUCUUGAUUUAAGGCCAAUGUCUCCCUCCCAUGGAAGAAGAACAGUAGAGAAAAGGUUGAGGGUAAAGAGGAAUGUAUGACAAGAAUUGUUUUAAUUGGCUGCCAUGUAUAUGUUUAUACGUAAAUUCAUUCUUGUUCAUUCAGGCAUGGAAAUGCAGGGGAUAGCUUUUACAAGCCCAAUUGGCAAUUUUCUUUGAUCACUGAAAAAGUAGAGAGACCAAUACCUAUAAAGAAACAAUGAAGCUAGCUAGAAUUAUAAGAGUUGGUUUUACUUUUCUUUUUCAUUCCGGGGAAAUCUGUGCUUGGUCUUUUCAUGGCAUAUAGGUCUUGCAGAAUUUAAUUUAACACAUUGCAUGUAUUGUAGCAUCCCAAACAGUUCAAUUCUGCAAUUCAUCCAAUGGUGACAUUAUCCGUUUAGAUUGCCCCCAAAAAAAAAGUCACUAAUUCUCAUCAAGAAUUGAGGAGACGUGGCACCACAAAAGAUUAUCGUUCUUCUCCUCAUGUCAUUAUAUUUGACUUACGUGUUUAAGGAAAAGAAAAAGAGAAUUUUAUCCAACUGGAAAAGAAAAAAUGAAAAGGUACUUCUGGAUGAGCGUUGCUGUGGAACCAUUAAUUAGCUUCUCCAAAUCCGUAGUUAAAAGCCUUUACAAAAGAUUAAGUAGAGCAGGAGUCAAGGCUUUCGGCUGUAAUGAUGAAACAGUGAUUGAAAUUAGGUAAAGGCGAUUUAAUUUAUCUGCCGAAGCUACGGAUUUGCUUGGAAAGAAUAACCCAAUAUAAAGGGGUCCCAUCCCAUCCAAUAAGAGGAUCAUAAUUCAUGACAAUAUAUCUCUGGGGUUUAUUUGAAGAAGGACAGUUUGAAGCAUGAUACCCAUCCAAGGCAAUCAUGAACCUUUCCAAGCCACCAUUUCUAAUCCCUUUUAGGGUUAAUCAUGCUUCUUUGAAUCAUUUUGCUUCCCACUGAACUGAUAUCAAGCGUUGUGGGUUACCCACUACAUAACCCUGCUCAUCCUUUGCUCUUAUUAAAUCAAUCACCAGUGUGCAAUAGAAGCAGAAAGUGAUAGCUAUAUAUGCAUGUCCUAAAAAAAAGGUAGUGUCAAUCACGAAUUGAAUCUCAAUUUAACCACUUUCCGUUACUUUUUGCCCAAGUUUUGUACAGGCAUGCCACUAGUCCUAGUUUAUUGAGGCAAGAAAUGUCACCAGUCCCAGUUUAUUGAGGCAAGAAAUUGCUAAUAAGGAAAGAUCUUUUUUAUCCUUAUUUUUCUGUGAAGAGGCUGAUAAGGGCAAUUAUUAUGGAUUUGGUUAACAAACAGAGAAUUAAUAUGUUUGUAGGGUUCUCUUUUGGUCGUUAAAUUAAACAUCUGAGUGGCUCCUUCCAAAAAAAAAAAAAAAACAUCUGAGUUUAGCAAGUGCUGACUGGAGAUGGAUAAAAUGCUCUUAUUGAUUCAGAACAUUUUUAACGAUGAAAAUUGUGGUGGCUAAGGCUUCCUUUCUUUGGUAGUAGUGGUUGAAUUGAAUUGAAUGGAAGGAACAGCUUUACCCCAAAAUUGCGGUGGCCUCAUAGUCAAUUCACUGCCAUGAAAAUCUACAGCACUAUCCAUGGUUCACAUCACCCAUUCGGUGCAUACAAUAAUGCAAGAAACUUUAGCGAAUGGAAUGAAAUUACCUCAAAUUUUGGACGAAAGUAACAUCAUCCAAAUUGCCUCUAGAAUAUAUAUACUAACUAUAAGAGAUGGACAGAUGUUUGCGUACUUAGUAGUACUGAAGGAGAUCGAGGGCCUCUCGCUUGACAGCUCAACAGGCAAAGUUUAACGCAGUUGGGAAAAAGCAACACCUUGGGUUAUCGGUUGGAGAUUUAACUGUCGGAUUGAUGCAACACAUACAACCAGCAAUAAACUAUAUAUUAAUCUGGUGCCAGCUUUUGACUUCUUUCUUCUUCUUUUUUUUUUACCUGCUCUGCUCUGAUCAAUAAGUUGCAUUUUUUUUUUUUUUUUUUUUGGUAAGAGGGCUGCCAAUGAAUUCUAGCAGCAAUUAGACACUUUUGCACGCAUGGAACCCAUUCUGGUCUAACUUUCUUCUUCAGCGAAUUGUAAAGUUUAACAUGAAAGAUGAAGAAAGAAAAGUCGGUGACCCAUCCAUCAUAUAAUUAAUACUCGAGUUAAGUUAAAGCAUAAGCAUCAUUCAUUUUCCACGGCAACUUUUAGAGAGAACACGUAAUUAAUUAACGUACGAGUUCAGAUGUUGCUUUGAUUUCACAGCAAUUUUUCCAGUAGUAAUGAUUUACAAUGCAUUUCUUCCAGUGAUUCGCGAGCAGUGAUACUACAAAAAUAAAUAUUUUCUCGAAAUUGUUUCAGCACCUUUAAUUAUGAAUUCUUAGAGAGUAAGAAACCACAGUAUCUGUAUGUCACAUUAUACCCAUGCCAAUAUUCUCUCCUUUUUUCGUUUGACGUGAAAGGCAGGCUACCAAGGCAGCAAUAAUAAAUAUUCCAUCCCACCGGAAGGUAAUAAUGCAGGACCAAACUUGUUCCUCAAAGCGCCACGAUCCCUAGCAGCCUGCACAAAACUCUUUUUGAUUUGAUGUUUUAGAUUCCCCCUUCGGUCCCAAUCAAAUCAAAUGAACCUCUUUUUGUUACGCUUCCUCUUUACAAAUUACGACGGCCCAAAAAUCAAACUUACUUUAACGUGGAAAGCAGGUGCGGGCAUGACUUUGGAUAAAUGGUUGCCAGAAAAGGCCAAAAAACGAGAACCAACCCGUUCAAUACGGCAGUCCGAAGCCGAUUAUGCCUGGAGAACCAUUACUGUUAAACAACGCUAUGCUAUGGUAUGCUAGUGGCAAGUUUUAAGGGAAAACUGCUUAACAAACCAUCAUAGCUGCUGCGCGCGUGGGAAAUUUAACGUCUUUAAUUCUUGGCAGGCGGCUAUAAUAUAAGGAGGGUAAUCACGAGAUGGCAAACGUAGUGGUACCAGACAAUCCGACUUCAAGAGGAUAAACAAAAAUGGCAGGGACGAGAGGAAGAAACCUCGAGCUAUGGAGUAAGCAUAAAGAGUCUUUUGAUUCAGCAGACCCAUGAAUUUUUCCUCGCUAUCGGUUCAUGGAACUGCGCUAUGACAUUGACGCUUCCCGUUUUGGUAAAUUUACUUGAACGCUACAGCUGAUUGUACUAAUCCAAGAUUUAUGAAGCUCAUCCACUAGCUUUGAGGCACAGGAUGUCAGUAACCAGUCGAAAAGAAUACAAAUGACCAUGGAACUCAAGAAUUCCAAAUGUUGGGAGAUCCAAAUAUUUAUCUUCUUCUUUCAUCCCGGUAAGGUCCUUCACUUUCUUGAUCCUUCAAGAAGCCUAAGAAUGCAAGAAAGCCGAAAAAGAAGAAUCCUCCAGACCAAUUGCCUCCACCUCCACCGCCACCACCUCCACCAUCACCAUCAUCACCGGGAGGAAAUCCAGUCCCACCAUCAUCUAGUUCUGGAGAUUUUUCCUUCCCUGGCAUUCAGUACAACAUCCACUAUCUCAGAAAUCCUUGAUAGCAAUCAAAUUAUCAGAGGCAAACUAUAUUUGCCAUGCUUAUGAAAUCAAAUAAAAAAAAAAAUUAUUGCUCUAUAGGUUCUAUAUUUGCAUGUUUAGUUUCUCAGAAAUUUCACGCCAAGGAGAAAUUCUGGCUCUUGGUAGCCCAAUAUAUAAAGGCAUGUCAAUACAAGCAGCUGAUUAUGUUACAAACACCGAUAUCAUGGACAGCCAUAAAAAGGUUACCUUGAACAGGAGCGACAGUAAUUGUCGAUGAUUGCCGUGUAACUGUUUGGGUCUGCCCCUCCGCGCAUGUUGCAUUCUUAGAAAAAGAAAUAAAAACCAAAUUAUCAACUCAUAUAUUGCUAAUCAUUUUGCUUACUGAAGAAAUACAAACUGAAGGUAGACCCAGAAAAUAUACUGACACAUCCUCAGACUUAUGCAUGAUAACUUUUACUGAUUAUUGUCGCCUAUCAACACCACUAAUCUACCAACAGCCAACUCUCGGAAGUCAUGCACUAGCCUGUAAGCCUAAUUAACCCUCUACCUGAACGCAAUGCCAGAGUUCCCUGGUCUAAAUAGUGUGAGCUUUUUUUUUUUUUUUAGUUGGGAGAGCGGGGAGUGGAGAGAGAGACGAGCUAACAUUGAACCUUUUUCUUUUCCUUUUAUUUAUUUUUUGGCUCAUUGUACAGAAGGAUUCACGAUGAGUAAAUCAUCAGUUAGAUGAGACUCAGACACAUUCUCAUUUCAAAAACAUCACAGAGAAAGCAAAGAUUCUUUAAAAAAAAAAAAAAAAAAAAAAAAAGAGGAGGAAGUAAAGACUGUUGAUGUUGAAUAUAUGACUGUUAAACAACACCGGCAUAGAUUAUCUCCAGAUAACUUAUAGGCAAAGUAAGAUUACCAGGGCAGCAGAACAUAUUAUGGAAGUUUGCUUUGUUCGAAUAGCAUGAUUGAUGGGUGUUCUCUUGUCAAGAGGCCGAAACCGUAAAGACAUUGGUUUCAGUCCAACAGGACCACAUCUAAUAUGCUUGAUUUGCACCGGCCAUCUAUCCUCUGCUUUUACUGCACCAAAAAGGCCUCUAAUAUGAGAAAAGAUGAAAUGAAGAACAAAAACAUAUAUGGACCAAAUGCAGAUUUAAUAAAUCUAUAAAACACAUGAAUAAGAACUCACAAAGACUCGGCACAAGGACAGUGUUAAUCACCAUAGAAGGGUAUCAUAAAAAUGUCACCAGAAACACACUAGGGAGAUUCCCUGAGAUCUCAUGUCAUAUGCUCAUAAGUCUCCUGUGCAAUUACCACAAUAUACAAGUGUGCAGAACUAUGACCUAGCUCAUUUACAAGAUUAAACAACAAUCUACUGCAGUAUCAGAGCCUACAACCAAACACUGUCAAGGACACGAAUCACAUCCUCAUCUACGUCUGCUCGCACACAUAGUAAUACAAUCAACUACAUUAAGCUAACCCAUCAAAAUUACAGAAGUGCAUGUAUUUGGCCUAGAAAUUCACACAGUAUGCUUGGGGCACAAUUUUAACUUGAAGUUCAGUAAACAAUCUAUGCUGUAAAGCUACACAUGAAUGCAUUAAUUUGGACAUAUGACGGAUGAAACAAAGAAGCAAGUUUGUCAAAUAAUAGUAAUUGACCAACUUCUCGUGCAGGUUCUAUAUGCCUGACUACAAAAUGUUUGCAGUUUCCACCACUUCUCAGAGUUCUAAACUUAGAGGAAUCCACCAAGGCUCAACUAACUGUGCAUAGUAAGAGAGCCCUUUUGUGCUCAUAAUGUUGUUUUUAAAUUAACAAAUGACCAUUCUUCCAUGUUUGAGGGUUUCAACCCUAAAACUUGAUAGUCAAGAUUCAACCCUACUGAUUUACAACAUUUUUUUGAAUAAGCAUAGAUCCAAAAUCCUUUAUGCUUCUGUAUGAUCCUUAUCCUUGUGAAAGAUAUUGUUUCCACUAAGAUGUGCUCCCAGGAAGCAAAAUUAAGACAACAGAAAGGUCCAAAGGCACCAGAUGUUUGCAGGCAGAGUACAAGUGAUAUACACAAAGUUUCACGGUCUAUGGAUUUAUGUAUUUAUGCUAUUUUUGACUUUCCAUCUAACAUUCAUACCACUACAAAGUACCCAGUACAAAAUUCGUGUCCUUAUGCUUAGAAACUCAGAAGAAUCCCAGUUUCCUUCUCUCAAUUAUUAUGGCAUCAACAUACAGCAUUCAAAUCUCAAAUGUUGAUUGCUGGCUAAUAAAGUUGCUGAUUUCCUCUCUUAAGGUUAUGCAGUGACUGAAUAAGUAGCCAAAGAUGUAAGACAAAACGUAAAUUAAAUAACUACGGAAAAGAGUAUCAACGUCAUUUUAAGAAAGAGUGUCCCUCAUAAAAAAUGUUUAACUAAACAAGGAUAUCCCCAUGUACACACACGUCUUCACUCAAAAUCCAAGAGCUGCACUCUAUGAACCUAAGCACAUAGCCCUAUGAAUUCCAGACUGUAUAAGUGCAACACAACAAAAGCACUGAUAAAUCACAGGCAGCUCAGAAACAAAAGAAUUGUCAACCAUCUGUUUCACAUGAUAAAGACAAGAUAUCAAUGUCAUUAAAUAGAACUUAUACACACCUGUGGCUAAAGUAGAUGUGCCGGCACUUGUGCAUGCCAUCAAAGACAUUCUGUCAAUAGAUGAUAUGACCUGAAAGUAUAGCCACAAGCAACUAUGCUAUCAACAAUAGAAAAAUUUUUCGAAAAAAGUAAAUAGAUGCCCAGUUUAAUACAUAUUCAUCCUAUUUUCCAGGCAUUCCUAUGACAACUCCAUCCUGGAUGAACGAAACUUAAUUUUAAUCUCCCAAAGUUCAAUCAAGAAGAACAUCUAAGAGGCCACCCAUAUAGGUACUUAGUUUGUGUAACUAAAUUUCAAUAGAUUGUCAACAUGAUACACUUCCUAUCUUGCAAAAAUAUCACAUUUUUCACAAUAAAUGAAACUCAAUCCAGGGAAAGGUCUUGGUUUAACCUAGCAGAAUGAAAACAUCAAUUAUUAAACUUGUUCGUGAAAUUAAAAAAAAAAAUCUUGAAUAGAAAAAUAAUAAGAAAAAGAGCACAAUUUUUUCCACAUCCCAAAUUAAAAGGGCGUGAUUUUCGUGUUGAAUGAUUAGCUGCUACAAAGUAGCAAAAAAGAAAUCUAAUCCAGCAGAAGGAAAAAGUAAAAAAGAACCAUUAAUCAUUCAGCUUUCCCAGCUCGAAUUCUAACAUAUCCAAUCUUAUCCGAGCUAUAAUCGAGCUAUUAAGGUUAUCAACAAAGUCGACCCUCUGAAUCGAAAAAAAAAAAAACGGAAUACUAAACGAAACCAAUCCCAGUCCUCCAAUAUUCCCACUAGUUUAAAUCUAUAGGACCAACAAUCAAUAUAUAACAGAGAGAGGAAAGGGAGGGAAUUUAAGAGAGACCUUACCCUGUUGUUGUUGUUGUUGUUGUAGAAGGCAGCAGCUGAGACUAAACGUGAGAGCGGAUUGAACGAGACUUUUGGGGCAAUCAAUCGAACAGAUCAAAGAAAAGAAAAGAGGGGAAAGGGUUUGCGAAGCUGCAGAUGAACUAUCCACUUAUCUUCUAAGAUUAUUGCUUUGAACCGCCAUAUUUUUCCAUUCUAUGGGCACGUUACGAUUGGAUGGCGCUUCCAAAUAAAAAAGAGACUAUUGCUUCUUCUUUUUUCUUAAGCCCAAAAAACAAUUAAUUGGACGGAAGGUUCUGGCCCCUCGAGUACAAACAUUUCAAGUUUUGUUCCGCCUAUGAAUUUAAGAAAUUAGUAGUGUUACAAUAAGGAGAUUUUCACUAAUCGAAAACGGAAUGACCUUUCCUUUCUCCUUUUCUUUUCCUUUUUUUUCCCUGUUUGAGAAAACUUUGUUGGAUUGUACUUGCUAAUAAAAAGAAACAAAAGUUUAAUUGAAGAAUCAAUUAAAAAAAAGGGAAAAUUGUUCAAAACGUCUCUCAUAUUUUACAAGAUGACUUUUUUUGUCCCUCACUUUUAAAAGUAUAAUUUUACGUCCCUUACAAAUUUACAUUGACCAAAUUUGAUUCCUACCUAGGUUUCCGACUAGUUUUUGGCCGGAAUCUACCAUGUGACUUGCCUGUGAUCAUUUUUUAUGGGCAAAAUUAUCAAAUCAAAUUUUUACAUAAUUUGAUUCAUAGUCCCUCACAUUUUACAAAAUAAAUUUUUUCGUCCCUAAUAUUUUAUAAAAUAAAUUGUUUUGUUUCUGACAUUUCAAAAAACCCACGUAUAUGUAUAUUUGAUUCUACUUGAACAGUAUGAACAACAUGUAAUUUAUCUCUAUUGGAUUUCAGCUAAACACGUUAAUCGUAGUUAUACACAUGCUAUUCAAUAGAUAUAUAUAGGGGUUUAAAACUAAUAAUUUUGCUUGAAACCCAUGUAUAUAUUUAUAUGAUUUCACCAUUUGAACCUAUUCAAUAUUUGUAACUUUUCUCUUUUGGUAAUAAUUUAUUUAUUUAGUUGCAUAAUAAGAUCAUCUAAUUAAUGGGUUCUAACUCAAAUUCUAUAAUUGUGCUAACAAAUUUCAGUUUAAAUUUGAAAUUUCUACUCGACACUUUUAAGACCAACAUUUAAAUAAUUUGCCUUAUGAUUAUUUUAAAUUUUGAAAGUGCAAAUCAUUUAUUUCUUUUUGUCAUACUUUUCUUUUGUUUACUUUUUCAAUCCAAAUUUAAUUUGAUAUAAACACUCGAUAAUAUUUAUGAUUAAAUGUCUUCUUUAUUUUCAAAUUUCGAGUAAAAGAAAAUGAAUAUAACUGAAAGACUAACAAUUUUUUUAAACCUAUGUAUAUAUCUAUUUGAUUUCAUUUGAGUAGUAUGAAUAGUAUGUAAUAUAUCUCUAUUUGAUUUCACAUGUUAUUCGUACUGUUCAGAUGAAAUCAAAUAGAUAUAUACAUGGAUUUAAAAAAAAAAUUAUUCACACACAUGAUUAAUAAAAGAUGAAAAAAUUCAUUUUGUGGAAUGUAAGGGACAAAAAAUUUUAUUUUAUGAAAUGUGAGAGAUUAUGAAUCGAAUUAUAUAAAAUUUGAUUUGAUAAUUUUACCCUUAAAAUAUGAUCACGUGCAAGGCACAUGGUGAAUUCCGACAAAAAACUAGUCGGAAACCUAGGUAGAGACCAAAAUUGACCAAUGUGAAUUUGUAAAUGACGUAAAAUUACAUUUUUAAAAGUGAAUGACGAAAAAAGUUAUUUUACAAAAUGUGAGGGACGUUUUGAACUAUUUUUCCUAAAAAAAAUGCUGAAAGUGAAAAAUCAAAAAGAUGUUUGUUCUUUCACAUUUUCUUUUUGGAAUGGAGUUUAACAUUGUGGAAGUGAUGUUAUAUAUAUAUAUAUAUAUAUACUAGUGGUAAAAGGCAUACUCAAUGUGUGUGCAAGUUAGAAAUAAAUUGUUUCUUAUAUGAACUUAUUUUACAUAGAUUUUUUUAUAUUACUGGACAUGUUUUGUUCUUUUAUGCCUUUUUUUUUUCCUUAAGAGUAUAAUUAUGUUGUGUGUUUAUGGGUAGUUGUAUUGGAGAUAGGUAGUUAUGACGAAAAUAAGUUGUGUUCAGGGUAAAAUUUAGGUCCUAUGAAGGUAGAAGUGAAACAUGAAAAAGUUACAAAAAAAUGUUUACACAAAAAUUCAAGAUUUCCACUUUGUGUAUAUGUACUAGUUCUCAAUGCAUACUCAAUGCGUGUGCAAUCAAAAAAUACAUAAUAUUUUAAAUAAAAUUUUUAUUACUUAACCAAACUUUAAUCUUUUAAAUAUUUUUCAUAAAAUAAUUUUAUAUUAAUAGUUAUAAUAUUUGGGAUUAAAUGUUGAAAACAUAUACUUAAAUAGUUAAAAGAAAAAAUAGAUGGGUAGUCAAAGUAAAAAUAGUUUUUAUAAGGGUAAAUUCAUAAAAUGACAAUAAAUAUUAAGUUGAAUGUUAACCCCAAACUCUUUCCUCAACCUUUAUAUAUAGAAGUAUAGAUAUAGAUAUGUAUAUGUAUAUAUGAACAAAGUUAACAUGGGCCAAGGAGUGUAGAUUUCCUUUCUCUUCCAAAGCUGGGCCCAGUUUAACAUUUCUUCUGGACAGGACUCAGGGCCACAGCCUUUGGUUGGGCUUCUCAGCUGCAGGCGUGGUGAUGUCCUCGCAAUGUGCUGUUGGUUGAUACACAAAUUGAUUCUAACUUAGGUGCAUUUGAUAUAAAAUUAAAAUUUGAAAACUAAAAUCUGAAAUUUAAAUUCAUCAUUGAAUUGUUAAGUCUUAACUAAUAUAAUAUGAUAUAUUUAAGUGCAUAGCACGUUGAGUUAUUCCAUCACUUACUUAAUUAAAUUAGAUAUUCAAGUUUUUAUUAUCAAACGCGCAUGAAUAUGUUAAAAUCUGAAUCCAUUAAAUUUAAUUGUUAAAUUGAAUAAUCAAACAGGGCCUUAUAAAAUUGCUCCUUUUUUGAAGAGAACAAAAAAAAAAUCUAAGAUUUGUAUCUCUGGAUUUGUACGCAAGACUUCGGCCUGCAAUAGAGCAGAAACAAAAAUUCUAAAUUCUCUUGGCAGAUCGGAAGAUGAGAAAGGAAGAAUCAAAUCGAAUAGCUAGUUGAGUACGGUUUUAGCGCAAUUUAUUCUGCAUGGUUUCAUGCGAGCAAAGCAAGUUUGAAAGAUUGAAACAAAGAAUUUCUUACUCUUUGUAUGAGCUAGUUGAUUGCCAAAUCAUUGUACAAAGAAACUUUUUGUCAAGAUAUUGCAUUUAUUCUAUUAGUAAGUGAGUGGAAUUGUCACGCGCAUUUUUUGUUACGUCUAUGGAGUUCCUCUUGGAUACGGGAAUGAAGAAGAAUUAGUAGUAAUUUUCUUGUAAAUGAUGGCCGGGCAAAUUAUAAAAAGAAGGAAACAAAAAUGUCCCGUGAUCAUUCAAAGUAAGAUCUGAUAUUGCGAUGCGAACCUGGCCUAACUUUCGUGUCCUGUGGUUAAUUAUGAAUCAUACUAAUUAAAUUCGAUUUCUAGCUCUUAAGAUGGCUGGAUGAAACUGAACAAUCUUUGAUGGUUUUCAAUUAUGGCUCAGAGUAAAUGGAAAGCAGCUUUUUGGGAAUAAAACAAAAUUUACUGUAAUUUUAGAUUCACAUGAUAUUACCACAGAGAAUUCAUAUUUCGAAGAAUGUGAUAAUAUAUACUAAACGAAUUUUUUCAAUUUACACGCUAAUAAUUAUUAGCUUUUCUUAUAUUUAUAUAGUUCUUUCUUUAAUUAAUUUUACUUUUUUUUUCAAAAGCUUUUGUUGUGUUUGGAUUGCAUUUUUCGUCAUUUUUCAUGAAAAAAUUACUGUAGCGAUUUGAUAUAUGUGAGAAAAAAAGAUGAUAGGGAAAUAUGAUCACGGAAAACGACAAUAUUUUUCGACGGAAACAGGCAAUCCAAGCGUGGCCUUUGACAUUCAAAUUUUCUUGUGUUAUUUUAAAGAGUGCGUGUUGCUUUGACUUUUUCCGAUGGCAAUCGUUAGUUAAUCAUCACUAUCGAGACAAUUUUGUUAAUUACUAAUUAACAAAAUCAUCAUCGUCUCACAUUGACCAAAAGGUCGAAGAAAUGGACGGAAGGAAAGGAAUAUUCUUUUCAGAAGAUCUUUUAUUUUAGUUAAAAGAGUUGCGACACCACAACGUAACGCAUCUAACCUAAGACCUUAGGCUUUCCGACAUGUCAAACUGGGAGCAUGAACAUAAGUCCAGCCAGCUGCUAGCUAUAUAUAUACCACUACAAGAAAUCAAAGAUUAGCUGGUUUUAUUUGCUUUACACUUGACUCAUAUUUUCUUCCUUUUUUACAGAUUUCUUUCUCAUUAAUCAUAUUUUUUUUUCCAUUAAUGUACUACAGUACGAUAUUAUUGACUGAUGGAUCAUUUCUUCUUUUGUCUUUCCAUGAUUGUCAACAUCUUUUGUGUCAGGACUCAGCAGCAGUAAUAUACCAUCCUUGAAACGUGGAAUUAGAUGACGUUUGAUUAAACUCAAACGUGGGACACGUAACAUGAUCUAGUGGUCCUCCAAACUUGGCCUCAACAACUCAUAAGUAACCCCGCAGCCCACAGCUCAGACUUGCAAACAAAUCAGAUCCCUCCCUCACUUUCAACAAGUUACUCAGUUCCCACUGUGGACUGGGACUCUGCAAGAAGCAGUACCCCACCAAUAUUCAGACUCCUCUCUCCCACCGCAAUCUUCUCUUCUCGCCUUCCCCCACCAUAAACAAACACAGAGGAUCAACAACACGCCUUCUCUCGCAUUUCAUUUUUUCGUCGUACCAUAAUAUCUUUGGGCAUUCACUGUAUUGUCAGCUUUUCCCACCUCGACCUUUUGUUUCUGUUGGAAAACAGAAGAAUCUGAAUUCUUGUCGGGUUGCUCUUGAUUUUUCGGUUACUGAAGUUUUCCUCAUUUUCGCCACCGGGGUAGUGGUUGGUCUGUUAUUUUAGUGAUACACGUGAUUUGGGUCUCGAGUAAAAAUUUGAUCUUUGGAAGAUUUCUCGUUUUAUGGCAAUAUACAUGUGAGGUUGUUGGGAUCUUUUUGGGAAAAAAAGUUUUGCUUUUUGUAUCAAAUAGGUAUCUCAUAAAAGCUAGUGCUAUACCGUCUGCGUAUUCUUAAGAGUUCCUCGUACCAUAUUAUAUUUGUUGAGUCACAAUUUAAUAUUAUAUAGAACAAGAAUCUUUAGUUGAUAAUCAGGGGGGGUUUAGUAUCUGGUUUGGGUUCUAGGAGCGGGAUCGUUGCAAUGGAUUCCUGCUGUGCCACCAUGAAAGCAAAUGCCCAUCCUUCGCAAAUUAGAAGGGCUUUUGGCUAUGGAGACAGUGGAUUUCUGGGAAAGAAGAUCAAGGGAAGUCUGAAAAGCAAGGCUUCAGGGACCAACUUUUGCAGGAGUUUGAAAAGUACUAGUGUAAACGGGGCUAAAAAGAUCAAGCCUGGGGUGGCUUUCUCCAUCUUUACACAAGAUAUAGACCAAGAGAUUAUGGUUAGUGAACACCUCUUUGUGAAAUUUGUGCUUUUGGCCUAUAUGUGUGUCUGAGCGCGCUCCCGCGCGUAUCUUUCUCCUUAUUGCUGGCACAAUGAUGAAUAUUUAGAGUUGUUUUCUUUUAUUUUUCAUGUUGGAUUCAGCAAUUUGAAGCACCAGUAUUUGAUGAGAGUUCAACAGUAGAUCCUAAAACUGUAGCUGCAAUCGUUUUGGGUGGAGGUGCCGGAACUCGCCUGUUUCCCCUUACCAGCAAAAGGGCUAAACCGGCUGUAAGAACGGAUCCCACUAUCUUGGUUCCUACUGUUAAUAUCUAUGGCUGUCACUGUUGGUUUAUAUUAUUGUUUUUUUUUUUUUGGCUGCAAAAGUUGGACAGAAUUAUAGAAUUUUGUGGACUAUAGAAGGGUUAUCCAGUAAAGUGCAUUAAGAAUUUGUGAAGUUACAGUACUAUUAUCAUGAUCCAAAUUAUGCAAUAUGGAGACACAGAACCAAGAAAUUUUAUUAUAGUGAAACAUUUGCUUCUGAUGUGGAAUUGUAUUUCAGGUGCCAAUUGGAGGUUGUUAUAGGCUAAUUGAUGUGCCCAUGAGCAACUGCAUCAACAGUGGAAUACGGAAAAUUUUUAUCUUGACCCAGUUUAACUCAUUUUCCCUUAAUCGGCACCUUGCUAGAAUGUACAAUUUCGGAAAUGGUGUGAAUUUUGGUGAUGGGUUUGUGGAGGUAAGAUCAAUCGGGACCUUUUGGAAAGCACAUUUUUCAUCUUUAAGUAGAACUAGGAUGGAUAGGGGUUUAUAGUUGACCAUUGUUUACUCUUUCGACAAAUAUACACUAGGGGCACCAUUUUUUUUGUCCAUGUGUUAAGGAAUAUAUUUUAAGCACCCUGCAGUCGAAUCUUUUUGAAAUACAAAUAAACAAUUGCCUAACAUGAUGGCAAAGGCAACUUGUUGCUGUUCUAAGAGAAACUUUAACUGGAAAACAGGUUCUUGCUGCCACUCAGACAUCAGGCGAAGCUGGAAAGAAGUGGUUUCAAGGAACUGCAGAUGCUGUUCGGCAAUUUACAUGGGUAUUUGAGGUGCGUGUUUAGAAUUGUGCCUGUUACUGGGAAAAUUCCAAGUGAAAGCAAUAAAGCUUGGCCUUGACUUGUUUUUGUAGGACGCCAAGAACAAAAAUGUUGAACACAUAGUAAUAUUGUCCGGAGACCAUCUAUACAGAAUGAAUUACAUGGACUUUGUUCAGGUUUAUUUUCAUCUUUGGCUGUAUUCUUUCUCUAGCACUUUCUAUUUCUCAAAAUUUAGACAUUAAACAAAGUUAUACUCGCAGAAGCAUGUUGACACUAAUGCAGAUAUUACUGUUUCAUGUGUACCCAUGGAUGAUAGGUUCGUAAUCCAUCUAUCUUCCAAACUUCGUAUUUAAACCAUAUCAUCACCUCUCUCUGCCUCUUUCAUUUGAUAGAAUAGACUACAGACGAACCCUUAAAGUGGGUAAUGGAUCAGGAACUUAUGUUUUAAUUCUUUUCAUGGCAGUCGAGCCUCAGAUUACGGGUUAAUGAAGAUUGAUGGGACAGGGCGUAUUAUCCAAUUUGCUGAGAAACCAAAAGGCGCUGAUUUGAAAGCAAUGGUAUUUGAACUUGAAUCCCUUAUAGAUACUUUUUGACAUAUCCGGCUUAAGUUGAUAUGCAUAUCACUUUGGUAUUUUGACUGUUGUUGCUUGGUGAUUUUAAGUUGCCCAUCCUGAGCUACUCUUCUUUUCGGCUUGGAUACAGCAAGUUGACACCUCUCUUCUUGGACUUUCUGCAAAAGAGGCUAUGAAGUAUCCAUACAUUGCAUCAAUGGGUGUUUAUGUAUUCAGAACAGAUGUUCUGCUGAGCCUUCUGAGGUGGAAAUAUCCUUCCUGUAAUGACUUUGGCUCUGAGAUCAUUCCCUCAGCUGUGAAGGAUCAUAAUGUUCAGGUGAGAAUAACAGUUUACUGAUUUCAUAGACACAAUCUUUGUUGCCCAUGGCCUUAGGAAUUUGGUCAAGUGUUGGUCAGGAAACUUUUUACUAACUUGGUUUGGUGAUGAAAUUUUAUCAUCAGGCGUAUCUUUUUAGUGAUUACUGGGAGGACAUUGGGACUAUAAGGUCGUUCUUUGACUCCAAUUUGGCACUUACAGAGCAGGUCAUUUUCCAUUUUCUGAGAAUAUUCUUUAGUCUUACUGCAUUUUUGUUCAUCUAAUUUACUGUAGAACUUCAUCAUUGGGUUAAGUUGGAAGUUUCAUAAAAAACUUGCAGCUUUGGUUGUCAGAAAUCCAAAAUUCUUAUAAUUCAUGCCAAUACACAAUUGGGAAGAAGAAUUUUGUUUAAGAGAAAAAGUUUGCAGAUGGAAACAUGAAGCCUCCAGCACAGUAUGGUGGCUGCUUGCACUUUAUGAACCACUUCAACUAUAAUACAGAGCUUGGUUUAUUACUCUUGUCAUUUGCAGUUUGCCUGAUAUGGUGGCUCCUAGCAUAUUAUGAACCUAUUUGGCUAUUGCAUAAAUCUUUAGUACUCUGUCAAUGGCAGUUUGUAUCUUGGAAUUAAAGUACGAUUUUGAUCUUAAGAUUGGUUUUCAAUGGUAAAUAUCUAUCAGCUAUUCGCUUCUGAAGGACCUAAAAAGUCCCCACGCUAAUUAUAAUUUGUUUCUUUUGCAGCCUCCGAAAUUUGACUUUAACGACCCAAAGACUCCUUUCUAUACAUCUCCUAGAUUCUUGCCACCAACUAAAGUUGAAAAAUGCAGGGUAUGCUAUUAUGCUUGUCUAUCUUCUUAGAGCUUGUUUCUUGCACAUCUCACGAGUUUACUGGCCUUCUCAGAUUGUGGAUGCAAUCAUUUCACACGGUUGCUUUCUUCGGGAGUGCAGUGUCGAGCACUCUAUAGUUGGCGUGAGAUCACGCUUAGACUAUGGCGUUGAAUUGAUGGUGGGUAGAAGUAUCUUUAAUUGUAAGAAUUGCUUUUGGCCAACUUAAAGUUAAGGUUCUGUGUUUUCAAGAUUUACCAAUGUCAUGCUGAGUUUCUUAUACUAUCAUCAGUACCAGUUUUUUUUUUUUUUUAACCUUCAGGCAUCGUCAGUACCGGUUUACUCGCCGCUAAAAUGCUAUGUCAUGGUGUUUUAUUGUUUGUUACUUGAGUCUAAUCAGUGCAGUGAACGAGUUCAAUAGAUUAUUAAAUAUUAUCGGCAAAAUCUUAUGUUUUCUUUGAGUGCCAUGUGUACUUAUGCCAGAAGAUUUUUUCGAAUUUCAGGAUACUAUGAUGAUGGGUGCGGACUACUAUCAAACUGAAUCUGAAAUUGCAUCUUUAUUAGCAGAGGGGAAGGUGCCCAUUGGUGUUGGACAGAACACCAAAAUUAGGUGAGAUAUUAUCAUAACUUGCAGACCGUCACUAACCUGCAACUUGUUUUAGUAAAUAAAUCCAUAGACUGAACUCUGUUGCAGAUCUCAUGGCUUAAAAUCCCAUUCAUUCAUUCAUCGUCAGUAUAGUAAUCUUUCCUCUAGGAGACUUGGAUGUGCCUUUUAUCUAUUUGCUGACAAAUUUCUUUCAUCCUUGUCACUUUGUGUAUCAAGAAAUUGUAUAAUAGACAAGAAUACCAAGAUAGGAAGAGACGUGGUCAUUACAAAUGCGGAUGUAAGCCUUUCUUGCUUUCUAUUUUCUGUGCUUUGCUGGGAAUCCUUAUACAGGAGCAUCAUGCUGCAGAGGAUUUAUAAGUUUAUCGGAUGUUACAGGGUGUUGAAGAAGCCGACAGACCAGAAGAAGGAUUUUACAUUAGAUCUGGAAUCAUUGUCAUUCUGAAGAAUGCAACAAUUAAAGAUGGAACCGUCAUAUAAUGGUGUCAAGAUUAUCAGUUUCUGCAACGAUGAGGCCCCUGUAUAUGUAACUAUGCUACGUUUUUGUUGAGACUCGUUUAAGGUCUAAGUUUUGGAAUAAAAUUUAAUGAUGGCGAGGACUAUGCGAAGUGAUGCUUCUAAUCUGAUUCUUAGUUUCUCAAGAAUCAUAAUGCCCUGUGAAUAUAACUUUCACGGACGAAAUGGUUCAUCAUUUGGUCUCUCUGUUUCAUGAAAACUUUUCCAAUCAAGUAACGAACAACAGAAAAUCAGUGCAGAAGCUUUUUUUUUGUACCCCGAAAAAUCAUGCCAGUUUACAAAACAUUUUACGUCCAACCAAACGGACGAGAGAAAUCUUGAAGCGUUUUACAUCCUACCCCGAAACAAACCGUGAGAAUUCCUUCCAAGUAAAAUUUACUUGGAGACUGAUUUAUCCCAUUUUCUCAAGGUCCAAGAUUGUCACCAUCAUAGUUUCUAGCUUCCUUUUUUGGUAAUACAUUACUGUUUCUAGAAUACAUUCUUCGGAUUUUAUUCAGCCUUCGUGAUUGCUGGACGAUGAUGCUUGCUGUUGAAGAGCUUUCACUGAAGAUGACCUCGUAGCCAUCGCGAAGAGGGUCCAUUCCUUAAGUUAAAAAUUGCCAGAAUAAGCCACCUGCAGCCGCCCCUCCGCCACUGGCCGAGGAGUAAAUGGUUGAAUAGACAGUAUUGAACAACAGGUCUCUCUGAUUCAUGUUGAAGCCGGGAUCUUUUGAUGAUUUCCCGAAUUCUGUAAAUAGAAGGGGUUUUUGAAGAAUCUUCUCUGCAUCCUGAAUGUGGCUUUGGAGCCAGUUGAUCAAGAAUGAAAGUUGAGCUUCUUCACUUUGGCCAGCUAACCUAUCCAUCCAUCCACGAAUAUCCAAGAAUUGUAAUAGUACCAUGUUUUAAAAGAGUCAGAUCAGUUAUGAAGACAACAAAGAUCGGUAGUGCUAUAGUUACCAUGCAUCCGGAUACGAGUGAACCGUGGCAAAAUCAAUAUCCUUAAUUUGAUUACUUGCUAUGAAAUCUGUUCCUGCUUGAAAAUUUGGAUUUAAGUGCUGCUUUUGAGCAUUCGAUGGUCCAUAGAACCCUUCAAGCCCAGCUCCUAACAAGUGAUUUCUGUCUAUGGACUUCAGGUAGGAACCCAUUUCUGAGAUCCAAGCCUGCGAACGAGUGCAAAUCAAGUGAGUAAUGAAUCAACACAAAUCCCUUAGCGCUUGCCAAUUCUAUCGACCUCCUUUUGCAUAAAACAAAUUCUAGUAAGCGAUUGAAACUUGGAAGUACAAUUAUAGUACGAAGAAGUUAGCGCCCAAGUUUUUCUUUUCUUUUGUCUUUUAUUUCUCCCUUCCAAAUUUUGUGUACUUCCGAGGUGCAGCCCGUGACUCUUUAUGGGGCCAAGUUUAGUGCCCGUGCCUUCUUUUAGUAGGACGCCUGGUCACAACUAGACCAAGACAUCUUCUGAGGCCGAGGCCUAGCCAACAACUAGAGAAAUUUACUGCUGUAACAGAAUAUUCAUAAAUCCUAAUGUAAAUAAAAUCCCAAAGACAAAGUAUUAGAUCCAUAGUAAAUUGUGACCAGCAAUUUGGUCUAUUGUUCACUACCAAGACUUUAGGUCUUAGUUAUGGAUGGAAGGUCAAGAGUUUAAAUUUUACUUUCCACAGAUCACUAUUUGUGAUUUACCACUUCUGUGGCUUCCUCCGAUGGGAACGUUUCCCACGUUUCCCAUUGGUUAGCUUCUCCCUCCCCCUCGAAUAGAUUGAGUAGGUUAUACAAGGAUGGUUAUAUAUCCUCAAUUAUCUCAUACUUUGAUUAACAUUGCUAGUAAUUUCUUUGGGACGUAGGACAUGAUGAUGAUGAUCUCCAUUUAUGGGGAAAAAAAAUUCAAAAUACAAACUGCUGCCCACACAAGGCUAUCAAUGUAGUCAAAGAGGUAUUGAUCUAGUGAUCAAAAUUGAAAUCUCAGAACUGGAUUCAUGUCUCUCUGCCCCCUCCCUGCUUCUUAAGUCUCACCUCUCUGCAAAUGAAAAAAUAAUAAUAAAAAAAGCCUAUCAAUGUAGAAUUAGCCACUCUCCCUAUUCUUUUGCCAUGCAAUGUACCCAUGUCCAUGCUAAUGGGCCAAUUUGGUGAAAUAAGGCAAUUAUGUGUCUUCUGUUUUCCUGAUAGAUCAAUAAAGGUGUAUACUUUGAAGAUGUUCAAUUAUAUGUAUGAAAAGAAAUAAGAAAUUAAGGAGGUAUAGUUGAACAUUCUAACCUGUAUAGUUUUGCCUGAUGCAUCUGUGGUGCACCUUGGUUCGUUCAUAAGCUCCCAAGCCAUUAUUAUGGGAUCAUCCUUGUAAAAUACUCCUGUGAUGCUAUUUUGUCUGGUUAGAACAGCCUGGCCAAAACAGGAACUCAUGGCUGAUAAGUAUGUUCUCGUUACCACAAUCAUGAAAAUAGUAAUGCGGAUAGAAAUGCUAAAAUAAAAAAAUUUUGUUCUUUUCUACUUUGUCCGUCAUAUCUAUUAUACUGACUAAUUACAAAACACAAGAAUUCUUAGAAAAAAAAAAAAUCUUUUCCAACGAAUGUGAAUGGAUGAAAACGAUGACAAUAAAAUGUUUGGCUAUACCAACCUUGAUGUGAUCUUUAUAGUAGCCUUUGACAACAGCAUUUGUGAAGAAAUCAUCAUCAGAAUUCAGAUUCUCACCUUUACUUCUAGCCCAGUCUACAUAUUGCUUCUUUCCUCCAUAAUUGUCAUAAUUGUUUACCAAGCUUAAUAUCAGCCUUAUUCCGUACUUUCUUGCUUCAGAGAUGACAAGGUCCAAUCCCUUCAACAAAUUCACAGAAGGGAUCACUUGGGAGCAUGCAUUCUAUAUUGGCUUCUAGAUGUUAAAGCAAGUUGGUUAAUUAAUAACAAAAAAUGCACAAAUAACAGAAACGGGGCUGACCUGAAACAUCUUUUCAUUGUAAUUGCCAGGAGAAAACUGCAAAGGGAAAUCACCUCCAUCAUUAAAAGCCCAAGUUCUUGCAACAGUAAGGCCAUGGCUAACAGCUUCUUCAAAUGCAGUAGAUACUUUGUUUUGCUUAGAUGGGUCAGAGCCAAAGAUCAUCAACCAGUAGGCAUUGAAACCAUUUGCAUAGAAUGGACUGCCUUCUUCUAGAAAUUGUACGCCUUCAGUUCUGAUAAAUUCAUCUUGUGCUGAAACUUCCGAAGAGGUUCGUCGGUUGUGGAUCAAGAACAGAAAAAUAAGAAAAAAGGGACCAAAGUGCUUCUUCAUUCUUGUUUUCUGACAGUGUUUUAUUAGACCAGCAAAUGGGAGAUUUUAUACACUGUAAUGUAGUAAAACUAGUGUGUUUCCUCAGGUGGAGGAAGGAUGAACUUAUAAACUAAUAAAAGUGGAGACGACAAUUACAAACAAACAAAUGUUAACAGUUUUUUGCUGUGUUAUAUUGUUGUCCAACCUAGAUGCUUUUAGCUUGGUGUAACCCCGCCCGAAUCUUGCUUGCUUUCCCUGGCAAAAGGUAACUCCUCCUAUGGGCAAUUCUUGUACUGACUUGUUUCUGUUGUGAAUAUACCAGAAUCAACAUUUUGCUAGGCUAUCGUAAUAAAAUUCCUAAAACAUCAACCAUUAAAUCAUCAAUUAUACGGAAUUCGAUACCAGUAUAUCCUGAAUUUUUUGGUGAAUAAAAAAGUUUAGGAGCUGGGGAGGUAAAUGCAUUCUAAGGUCACUGAAUACUCCAACGAGAUUCUUUUAAUGUAAUGUUGGAGAGGAAUCGUCAUACUCGUACCCGUUGGGGUUAAAAUGAGACAAAACAAAAUGGGAAUCCAAAGGUUUUGAGGCACAUUAAGCUAAACGACUAACCAACAGAAUCCAUCUGUUAAAAUCGACCCAAGGGUUUCACAUUAUUAAUCUUGACGUGAUCAAUCCAUGAUGGACAAGGGUACCACGUUCAUAAUCGACAAGGGAGCUAAAUGUUCAUGACCAUUAUUAUACUAUUAAUCAUAGUUAUUAAACUCGGCCCGGAGAGAAGACCGGCGAAGGAGGUGAGUCAACGGAUCACUAGUUCAACUAGUAGAUAAGUGGUUGAACCAGUGGAUCACUAAAUAUAUUUAAAUAUUAUGUCUUAUAAUUUUUGAUAUAGGAUAUAUGAUAUAAAUUGCAACAAAUAAUGUCAUAGCAAAUGUUCAUUUAAUUUAAUUUGCUAUAGAAUAUUGAAUUCAUAUAAGAAUCAGCAAAACAUAAAUUUAAUUAGUAAUCCAUCAAACUUCAAGUGUAAAAUUUUAUAUGUUUAGUGUAAUUAUCUAGGUUAGUUAUCAAUUUUAAGUACAAAAAAUUAUUAAAAAUAAUAUUUAUCUUUAAAAUAAAUUAUGUAAUAUGUUAUUUUUUAAAUCUAUUUUAUAAUUUAUAGAAUUUAGGGGUCAUAAGUUUUUAUUAAAAGAUUCCAAAUAAAUUUGUUUUGAAGAAAUAAAAAAAAUAAAGAUAAAAUUGACAAAACGUUCAUAUAGUGUAAGAAUGGUAAUUAACUAACAUGUGGCAAAGUGGUAUGGUGGUGAGUAUGUUUGGAACGAUUUUUUUACUCAAAACCGGUUUGCCCACAAAAUCGGCCGGGUUUUCGAUUUAAUUUGAUUGAAUCGUAGGUUGUUUGAAAAGUCAACGGUUCACUUGCAAAAAUGAUCUAAUUAGCGAACCGAUCCGAUUCAAUGACUGGUUCAUCGGCUUGAUCGAUCGAACUGUCGAGCCUGGGCGCGAAUUUAAUAACUAUGCUAAUAGUCUUCACGAAGACGAUUGGUGAAUGCAAAACGUUUUCUAUUUUGUCUGUGCUUGCAUUAGUUUAUAUUGGCAGCUAGUUCAGGGACAUUGACAUGGGUACCACACUUAUUAGUUACUGCACUUAUUUUGUUUCUUGUUCUUGUAUUGAAGUUUAGAAAUUACGUAAUGUCAUUAACAAAAAUUUAGGAUGCCAAAUACUUAGAAAUUACGUAAUGUCAUUACUGCACUCUAUUUUCCCUGAACAAAAAUUUAGGAUGUCAAAAGUUUAGAAAUUACGUAAUGUCAUUACUGCACUCUAUUUUCUAUUUCAAAUGAAGUGUAUUUAUUAUUAUUAUAUGAUAUCUUAACUCAUUCGUGCAAAUUCAACAUCCGAAAUUGCGAGGUGAUAAGGGCUUCAGAUUCAUUUCGGGGUGAGGCUUAGUGAAACAAAAUAAAUAGUUAUGUGGGUGGGCUUUUUGAGGUUAAGCCGCGAGUCUUUUCUCUGCGACCAUUCCCAACUUCUUCUUCCAUUGUGAAUCCAACAAUUGUCUCUACAAGGUGAAAUUACUAGAAUUUGGAUAAAAUUGCCUAUUACCAGAAAGAAAGUCGUAAAUAUAUCUAUACAUGGUGAGAGGAGAUUAUGGCAAAUGAAACGAGGGCAGCUACAAUUAUUACAGUGCUGGCACCAUCUCUCGAAUCUUUGUUCACCUUUCUUCGGAGUUGAAUCUGUUCCAUGCAGCCUGCAUCUCGAAGGACUACUAGAUUAGAUGAACAAUCAUAUACAUUUAUCAAACAAACUGAUGGGAGAAAGGUCACAGGGAGAAAAUAAAAAAAUUUAAAAGGAAUCCCGCAAGACUUCGAAAAAGGUUAAGGUGACCAUAUAAGAGGGUGAUGCUAAGUCUCAGUGACGGAAAAUGGCUACAUGUCGCAGACUAAUUGUUUUUCUCCCUCAAGCAAACAAGUCUCAAGUUUGGAGUCAAGACUCAGCAUAGAAGCAAAAACAUGCACCUUGAGAAGAUCAAAGACUUUUUCGCAUAUGUACUUUUGCUGGAUGCUUGCCCCCCUUUGCUGUAACUUGUCAGGAUGAACAUAAAGAGUUGCCUUCCGGUAAGCUUUCUUCACAGCAUUAGUGGUUAUAAUCUCUGUCAGGGAAAUUGACUGCCAUCCACUGUUCGGCCCAAGAAUCUGUAUUCAGUCAGAGGAUUAUCAGCCAAUGCCUAAUACAAUCAGCAAUUAGAAGGGCAACAACUAACCCCACAUGAGAAGCAGCAAAUCAUAUCAAUAGUCAACUUCUUGCAUGCACUCACAUCCACCAAGACACCGAGGGAAAAUACUAGUGUCAUUGUAAAUCACGUAUGUAGGAUCACACAAGAACUUCAAGCAUCACAGCAAGGAACGCACUAACUUAACAUCAAAAUGAGAUCAAUUGGAGUAUUUUCGCAGCAGUUUUUAAUCAAUUUGAUGCAAUAGUGAAGUUUGACAACUUCCAAAAUCCAGUUAAUCAGAGUUUUUAUUUUUAUUUUUUUUUCCAAUUUUGAAACUGGAACAUCGCAAGACCAAAAAUGAAGAAAACACUGACGCAACAAGGAAUCUGGAAACAUACGUAUUGGAGAGUUGACAGCAGUGCCCGCAUGUUCCCCUCCUUCCCACUGGCCCAUCGCUUAAUAUCUGCAUCCAGAGUUUCUGCUAGUCUCUGUAUUUCAGGAAUACAAACAAGCUGGUGAGACAAAAUGCAUAAUCUUUUAUAGGGGAGGUCAAAUAGUAAGGGAGAAUUAUUACAUUUCUCUCGGCUUGCUCUCUCUGAGCAAGAACAUCUCGAAGGUUCUUCUCUGCAAGGGCUUUUGCCUGAAAAGCAGACAUCAGAACGUUAUCAUAAAUAAGUAGGCCAAAGUGAAUGUCCAGUAUUCUUAAAAAUUAUGAACACAACAAAUGCGUACCGCUCUUUCCAUGAUUCUCUGAUGUCGCUCUAACCUUGCUUUACGUCUCUGAGCUGAUUCAUUAUUGGUCCCAUCAAAGCUCUCUAAAUCCUGUCGGAUAUACAUGUAUCAACCACUGGAGAUGCAAGUAGAUAUCACACUUUAAGAGAGAAAUGAAAAUUUCAUGAAAGACACUCACAGAUGAAGAAAAGCUGUGUUUUAACCCAUUAACUCUGGAAGCACCAGAAAACUUUCCAGAAGCAUUUCUUUCUGCCUGCGUUCUCAUCUCACUGGUAGUCUUCUGGGACAAUGCUUUUUCGAGAGCACGCUCACGAGCCUCUGCAGUAGCUCUCUCUACUGCAGCACGUUCUGCCCUAAGCUUGGCAUCAAUGGAAGAAGCUUUACCUGUUGGCACCUUUGGCCCAGCAGACUUCUUCUCAAGCUUUUCCCGUGCUUCGGCCAUUGCUCUUUGUCGAACUUCAGCAGUUGCUUUGUCCACAGCAGCUCUCUCUGCCCGUUCUCGGGCUUCAGCAAAUGCCCUUUCACGAGCUUCACGAAUUGCUCUUUCAACGGCUAUUCUGUGUUUUUUCUGUUCUCUUUCCCUCUCGUUUACUUCAGAACUUUUAAGGCAAUCCUUUGCUGCCUCUUCUUUUUGCACAUUUUCUCUGAUUUCCUUAUCUUCCAUCGCGAAGGUUUUGCAUCCAUUCUCCUCAUUAUGUUCUGUACUUCGGCCUGUUUUCAUCUCAGUAUUAGUUUCCACAUGUUCUUCCCAUUUAAGCUCCACAGGGAAUUCAGAAUUUCCUGGUUCCUUUUGGCUCUUGAUGCACUCUCUUUCUUUGAGAUGUAAUUCAAUAGUAUCCUUUUCAUCAUCUUUCUCAUGAGCAAUGCCAUCCACAUGGACACUUUCUGCAUUUCCCCCAGAUUCAUGAACUAAACCAUCACCAUUUGCUGGAUUGAUGCCAGAUUCAAAUCCUCUGUCAAUUUCUUCACUUUGUUUUUGCCCAUACACUUCGUCAACCCACCCGGCACAACUUUCAGUUUUGAUAGAAUUUUCAGAUUCAUUGUCAUUGUUGUGAAUUUGUUUCUGCCCAUUCAAGUUGAUGAAAUCAAAAUUUGAUGAAUCUUUAACUUCGGAAGGAGCAUCAUUUGCCCGUUCACCAUCUACCGUGUCCUCUGUGGUGCAAUUGGAAAUGAAAACAGUCGUAAUAGCUGUCUCUGCGUCCUUUGACAGUUCUGCCUCACAAUUAACCUUUGUAAAACAAAAAUCUGCUGUCUUUUCAAUAAAAUCAACAACCUCAGAGACAUCUCUUAUCUGGCUCUCCGUUGUAUGCACUUCUUCACCCUUCAAUGUGGAUGCCUCUUCAAUGUCCUCGGUUGCUUCCGGAUCCUCUUCAAACUCAUAAAAAGAUUCAGGGAUCCCCACUUUGUGAGCCUCCUCUUCAUUGUUUCUUCUUUGCUGUUGACUAUUUGGCUCACUGCAAUUUUCUACUUCAGAUCUGCAUGCCUCCUGAAUGUCAUCUGGGUUGACACUCUGGUCGUUGUAUGCAUCAAGAUCCGUAUCAAGACUCUCCUUGUAAGCAGCCUCCUGAAAUAAAUUUGCCCCAGGAUUUUCUGCACUAUCUACUGUUCGGUCCCAGGAGUCACCAACUUCUUGAACCUCUUCAUUGACUUCUAUCUUCUGGUGCACUGAGCUGUUAUCAGCAUCUUCAUCCAUACUAUCCUCUUCUAUACUUUGGCAACUCCCUGCAGAUCUUCUAUCAAUUGCUUCCCAUACAUGCUCUUCCUCUGACAUAUUCUGGUUUUCUUCUCCAUUACCCGAUUGCAUUGAUCUCAGCCCAUCAGUUUCUUGCUUAUAAUAACCUUCCAACCUAUCCUCAGAAUCAUCUUCCAGUCCCUUUCUGCUACAUAUACAGCAAGUGGCCCUCUUUAGCGCAUGUUCAUUACCAAACCAUAGAUGAAAAUCUUCCUGCUCAAGAUCAACUUCUUCAUCCACUUUGCAAUCUUCUUGUCUGCACACAUGAAUAUCCUCCAGUUUUUCCUCUCCUUCCUGAUCAGAGGACCUUUUCUCUAGCUUCAAGAAGUCAUUUUCUUGCAAAGGAUUCCCCAACUUUUCAGGCUCAAAGUGUCCUUCACUUAUUGUUUCGUUAAAAUCCUCAUGCUUCUCCUUGCAUUUUUGCUCUUCCACUAAAUUAGCUUGUCCGUUUUUAGUUACUUCAUCUGCUUGGGAAAAUAUCUGGGUUUCACUUAAUUUGUCUUCGUUAGCAAACGGAGAUGACUCAGAACUGUCUACAUUUUUUUUCAACUCCUCUGACCUUCCAAGUGCAUUUAACUUGGCCUCUGUAUCCCCAGACUCAAGGAUUCUGUUAACAGCAUUUACUUUCUCACUAGCAUUCAAGUCCACGGUCACCUUAACCAGAUUUGGCUCUUCGAUGCUAUGUUUUUCUUUAUCCAAAGUUUGAAUAGUGCUAUUCCUCUUACCUACCAGCUCAGAGGCCAAAGCUGCCACUCUAUGCUUUCCAUUGCUAAGCAGUUGAGAAAACCACGUUGCCACCCCAUUUCCCUCAGAUACUUCAACAUUUUCACCAUUUAUUGCCACCACACCCUGUCGACCUGUAGAAGACUCCUCACAAUCUUUGAAGGGUAAAGCAACUUCACCAUUUCCAAAUGCAAGGUACUGGUCACCUCCACAGGAAUCUGGCAUUUCAUUAUCUACACUUCUACAUGCUUCAUUCACAUUUUUCUCUCUGACAUUGUGUACUUCCUGAACAUGCUUCAUUUCCCUUGCAUCCUUAGUUUUUAACCUCCCCUUAGAAUGCAGUUUAGAACUUUGGCCAGAAUCUCUUUUUCGUUCCAUUAUUUCCUUCACAAUUCUUAUGCUUUCUUGGGCCUGCUCUAUGGCUUCUUUUAAAGCAGCUGCUGGGGCAGCAGCAGCUGAAUUUAUGUCAAGUUCCUCAUCAGAGAAAGGAGUUGAAUAACCACCAGUAACCUUUUCAGAAGCCUCAACUUUAGGAUCAUAACUUGAAGAAUUUGAUCUGUUGGUGUGCCCCUUGCUAUCAAACAGAUUGGCUGAAGAACUACAAGGUGGAGGCACAUUAUAAGGAUGUGACUUCAUGCCAGGUUUCUCCAUAUUUGACGGUAUAUCGCUCGAAUUGGAUGCAUCCUGAUAACAUUCGCCUUUAUCUUUAACCAAACUUUCAGAAGAUUGUAUCGUAGGCAGUUGCCAUUUGGCUCUCCUCCCAGAUUUUUCUUCAGAGAUGUCAACAUUUGAGCUCCUAUUAUGAUUAACUUCUAACUUAACUUGGGGCAUUGCCUUAUCCUUUUCUCCUUUUUGCUGACGAUCACUGCAGUUCCUGUUAUGAUUAACAUCGGAUUUGACUGAAGGAAUAGCCUUAUCCUGUUCCGUCUUUUGCAGACAGUCACCGGAGCUCUGGUUAUGACUAACUUGUGUUUUCAAUGGGGGCAUUGCUCUGUCCUGCUCUGUCUUUUGCAGACAGUCACUCAAGUCCUGGUUAUGACUAACUCGUGCUUUCAAUGGAGGCAUCGCCUUAUCCAAUUCUGUCGUUUGCAGAUGAUCAAAGGAGCCCUGUUUAUGAUUGCACUCUGCUUUAACUUGAGAUAAUGCCUUAUCCUGCUCUACCUUUUGUAAACGGGCAGUUUCAUCAAUUAGGCAUGUAAACCCAGGAACAGCAUGGAGUUGAGCUAUGUGUGUAGUGCCGUUGGAACCAUCUUUCCUCUGUUGGCCAGUCUUAUGAUAAGACAUAUUAAACUGCUUUCCACCAUCAACAAAAUCCUCAGAUGCUUCAGAUGAGUGGCUUUUAUUCUUCUCAGAAGAAUAAAAGUGAUCUGAUCCUUUUAGAGGAGGACACGGGUCUGUUGAGAUCCUAGAAAAGUUGAAAAGAAAACUUGAGGUAGUAAGAUAAGGUGCCAAGAAAAUUUUAGAAGAAAGCCUUGGAAGUAACCAGUACUUGUAUGUGAUCUGACAUACAAGUACAUUGCUACAGAUAAUCACUGUAAACAUGCAACCCCAGCAUCCAUAUAACAUCACUAGAUGCUUCAAACACAUGCAAUAAAAGCUGCUCCCUUCCUGCCUUUUGCCCUAUCCCUCUAACAACACAGAGAAAAUCACCCCAGAAAUGCAUUCAUUGUACAUAAAAUAUGCACUUUUUGUUUGUCGAGAAAAAUGAUAAUCUGCUAAAAAUCUUAUUUCAUAAGAAGGUUGUCAAACACCUGUCCCGUGUAAACCAUAAGCUUUCUUUUAUCAGCUGAACAACACCUCACAUUAGCGAAAAACAAGAAGAUGUGUAAUUAAUUCUUCUAAACAACAUCUCACAUAAGCGAAAAACGACAAGAUACGUAAUUAAUUCUUAAAGCAACAAGAUACAGCAAAAACUAUCAAAACCUCCAGCUACUGCAACAACCAAAAUCCCAAGAAUCAGGCUUGAAACAGCAAAUUUAAACUUUUCAUAAUCGUAUAAACCUGCCACAUAAUCAAACUGCACAGGAAAACCUUCUAAUACCUCAACAUCUGAAAGAAACAAUAGCUUACAGGAUAUUAUUGAGACACAUUACCCAUUUUGGCAUGACCAGUCCAAAUUUUCCCUAUUCUACCAAAUGUAUAAAAUAUACAUCAUUCCAACAAGGUAUCACUAGAAACACAUUUACUAACAAUAUUCCAAUUCAAUCUGCGAGCUGCAACAAAGGAAAAUCUAUUAUAGCACUUUCCUUGAAAAGAAGAGUCCACGACUAAAACACAUACAAAGACGGAGAGAAGUUAUACGAGAAAAGUUCGAAUUUUUAGCAGGAAUGGAGAAGAUAAGUAUCAGUAAAAUCUUCAAGAUUUAAAUUUGCUUUCAGCAGCCAGUAAUGUCAGCUAAAGAAAACUCUAUCAUUCUCAACAUUUCAACAGAAAACAAGAAAAAAGGAGGACAUUUUUCACUUCUUCCUGGGAAGAUAAGCAAGACCCUUCAACAAACUAAGCAUUACCUCAAGAACCCAGAAGGGAAAGGACAAACAAAAAUUCAACUCUAAUAUCCCCAAAACAAAAAGGCGAAAUAUAAAAAUUACCUAGCUUUAGCUUUAUCGCGCUUGACUUUUUUAACUCCAUUAAACAACUCUUCACAAGGCGGCACAGCCAUAGCUACAUUAUCACCAACAGCACCACCACCAAAGCCUCCAAAAAUGGUCGAAUAGUCCAGCUUGCUAUUGGAGCUCCGAAACCCACCCGAGCCAUGUCUUUCAUCCAGGUCCGACAGGUCAAGAACCGGAAUAGAACUGCCACGUGUACCAUUUCUGCCACCAAAAAUUUCAGCGUAGUCUUCAGCAGCUACUUUUCUUGAGGCAAAUCCCGCAACAGCUCCGAACCUCGGUUUAGAGCCACCGAGCAAAACAUCGUCGUAGGCGUCUUUACCGGAAAAUGACAAGCCAUUGCUGUUAGUGCUACUGGCAUUAGAAAGCUUUCUUCUGUGGUGAAAAAAAGGCCCAGUCAAAGACUCCAUCGAAGAGACAAAAAUUUCUUCGAGCUUUAGCCUGGCUUUUUCUCUUCUGGUAAAAACGCGUUUUUCAAAGUUUCUCUGAUUUAUUAUUAUUAUUAUUUUCUACCACUCUUCUUCUUCCUCGGUGGUCUGCGUUAAGCCUCUGCAGGGAAAACGCUGCCCUGCAGAGCCAGACAAAAGGGGGAAGAGAAAAAAUGAGUGGGGUUAGAAUAACAAAAUGGAGAAAUGAUUUUAAGUGCUUGCUCGCUGUAUUGGGGCUGUGCUGGCAUUUGGCAAGCAGGGAGUGACCGGUUUUGCCGGUGGGGGAGGCAGUGUGGCCCGUAUUAGAGACAUAACGUCGCCGUAAGGGUAUAUUUGGAAAUUCGGAUCGCACCCCGUUUUGAGGAAUUGUGCAGGCGUGAAUGAACUAUGAAGAGGUUGAGAACCAAUUUAGGACGGAAUCAUUUAUUUAUUAGCUCUAUUAGGCUAAUUAAUUAAACUAGUUUUGAACAAAGACUAAGGGUAUUUGUUUUGACUUUAAUUGUAAAAUCAUUAAAAAAAAAAGAAAAUUGAUUUCAUGUAUGAACUAACUGCGUAAGAGGAAGUUGGAUUGUAAGUUUGAAUAAUAUCUAGUAGUUGAUAAUAAAAUACUAUAAGAAUCUUCAUAAUUAAAGCUUGAUUUAUUUUCUCCAUUAUUGCUCGUUUCUUCUUCUUUUUUUCUCUCUUUUUGCACCCAUUGUUCUGGAGAAUAUUUUGAGAAAAUAUAGUGCAUAGAUAGCUCUGUUUGGUUAGUUAUUUUUUGAAAUAUUUUUAAAAACUUUACUGCAACUGUGUAUAUAAAAAACUUUUACUAUAAAUAUUUUUUAGAUUAUUUUUAGAGGCAUUUUUAAACUAUAUUUUGGGAUAUUUUUAUAAUUUAUAACUUUUUUAGGAUAUUUUUUAAAAAAAUUUUACACCACCCACCACUAUCCCCCCUCCUUCCUCCUCCAAUUUUCCUCGCUCUUCUCUCUCCUUCCCUCAUUUCCCCCAAUCCCAAACCUCUCUCCCACUCACGGGUGGUGGUUGCAAAUCUAACCACCACUUUAGUCACAACCUUCUUGGUCGCGACCAAAAGCCAUUGGUCGCGACUUUUGGCCGUGACCAGAAAGUUGUGGUCAGUGGAGGAGAAGGGGUACUGAAGGAUGAGGUAAGGGAAGAGAGAACAGAGGAAAGAGAAAGAGAGAGAGGAGGAUGAAGAAAAAAGGAGCAGGAGGAGAGAGGAGGGAGGAUUGUGGGUGUAGGGUGAUGGCGGUAAGGUGGUGGAAAGUGCUGGGUGACGGUAGUGUAUUCUUUUGUAUAUUUGAAAUUUUUUUUAAUAUAUUACAUGAAUGUAAUAGUGUUUUUGGAAUUAUUUUUUUUGUGUAUUAUUGUAAUAUUAUAUAUGAAUAAUUUGUUUUUAAAAAUUUGAGGAAACCAAAUAGAGCCCAAGUUAUUCAAGCUCAAUUUCAAGCUUGGCUUGUUAAAAACUUAGUAAAAAGUUAAAUAGAAAUAGAAAUAUAAGUUUGACUUUGAGGGAAGAGAGGGGGGGGGGGGUUGGAGAAGUACACAAUUUGAAGUAAAUUUGAAAACUGGAGUAAUAUUUGCGCUCGACCAAGGACAAAGAAGAUUUAAGGUAUGUUUGGAAUGUUGUGAUUGCGAAUGUGUUUGAAUAGUUGGUUCAUGGCUGUGGCCCUGUGGGAUGUUUAAUGCGUCAGCGUUUUUACGUGUAGUUUGGGAAUGGGGCCUUUCGUAGAAGUCCCUUAAAAGUUGUUGUACAGGAUUGUCAUUUUAGACAGCGGGUCCCUUGGGGUUAAUUGGGAGCUUCAGAGCUAUGUUUUCAUGCUCGAAUCGAGUAUCCACUCGAUUGAGUUCAAGGCUCAGGGUCAAUCAGAGGAUAUCAUAAAUAACAAUUAUUUUUAAAUUAAAAUAUUAUAUAUAAAAUAUCUAAGAACAUGUUAAUAUUAAUAAAAAUAUAUUUAAAUAUAUUUGAUGUUUCAAAUAUGUUUAACAAGAAAAUACAAAAAAACUAAAACGAUUAAGUAGCAAUUUACAUUAUUCAAUGAACAGUAAUAAGUUUAAAAUUAAAAUUAUGGACUUGAUUGAAAAAUAACACCAAACAUUAGGAUAACAUUUUAUAAAGUAUGAAAUAUUUGAGAUAUAUUAAUAAUUUAUAACAAUAUAGGAGUCAAAACAUAAUAUUAACAAUGCUUUGACCUUCAAAAAAAAAAAAACUUUGACACCAAACCGGUUCUUUCGAUUUUUUCGAUUUUUCCGGUCAAAUCCAAUUUUUGACUUGGUAUGACUGUGUUUCUAUCAAUGUGAUUUUUUAGGAUAAUUUGGAUCGGACACUUUGUCUGUUUUCGGUUCGACCGUUCCAGUCUAGUUCGAAUUUAAAAACAUAGAAUCAGUGUUUACCGGUACUAUUCUUAAUUGUGAAAAUGCUUCUCAUAAUAUGCAUUAGACAGGAUUUAAAUCCUCAACCGAAUAAUAUAUCAAAGAGUUUUAAAGGGGUUCUUGUUAUUUAUGGUCAUCGGACCAAGGUCAAUGGCUUCAACUCGUUGUUCAUUGGAUAUCUCAUUUUCGUUUAUAUAUAUUUUUUUCCAACAACGCAAAGUGGAAGAAAUCUCAUUUUCGUUUAUAGCUUUUCAUAUAUUUUGGCUGAUUAAUUUUGACUCAUCUUCUCAUGUCAUGAUUGCGAUUGCAAAGAGAUAGAAAAAAAAUGAAGGUCUUUCCCAAACGCGGUGACAGGCAAAUCGUUCAUUGGAAAAUUCAAACAAGAUGAUCAUUUGACAUAGAUGUUACAAUGGAACUAAAUAAUAGCGCGAUUAAGGAUUCAAACUUUACUUUUAUAUCAAUUAUAAUGAUACGCAAUUUCUCAAAAAACUCAUAUAGAUGCGUAAUAGAUAAAGUGACGAAGUGAUGAUGACAAAAAAAAAAAACUGAUCAUAUAUUUUACGCUUCUUUGGAGAAUCACUUAUGGGAGAGAGGUUAAUAUGCAUGACAACAUCCUAUAACCUAAUAAUUACAAACAAAAAAAGAAGUAAUUAUUACAACUUUUUGCUAAGGCUUGGAUAUAGUUGUCACUUUAUGAGUUUCAAACUAAGGAAUUAUCAUGUGUUGAAUUUUAAAAAAGCUACAUCGCUACUGGACUCUGCCAAACUGUCAUCCGCUCAGAUAUAGCAGCAUGCAAAAAUAGAGAAUUCAAUUUACUGCUCAAGUUUCAAAACUCGUAGUACAAAAAUUUAACAAGGUAACUAGACAAAUUAUUACUCCGUUUACUAAUGGCAACUUGAGCAUAGAUUGUCUACGUUUCACAAUAAUGAUUAUUUACAUGUAAAUCUUGAAGUGUGUGCAAUACAAAUUUCUGCAAAAUGGUUGAGCGGCUAGAUUGGCCUGAAAUUAAUUUAGAGUUAUACCCUAUUUAUAGUUUCACCUAGAGUCUCACUUUAAUUUGUUUUCCUUAAUGAUAUACGGUGUUGGAGCACAAUUUUUGUAGGUCAUUAAAACACAUAUAUUUCGUAGGCAAUUACACAAUUUUGUAGCUCAUGAUUUUUUUCAAAUGGAUAUAACAUGUUCUAAUAUAAAUGCAAGUAUGGAACAAAACAUAUUUAAGAGCUUGGAGCAAGCAAGGCAUUGUAUGUAUUAAAGUUAUAACCGUACUCUCAAUUACAGUAGCCAUGCAUUGGCCUUUCAAACUAAGGUUGUGUUUGGAUUGCAUUUUUUAUAAUUUUUUAUGGAAAAAUUACUGUAGCGAUUUGAUAUAUAUGAGAGAAAAAGGUAAUAGAAAACUGUGAUCACGGAAAAUAACGUAAUUUUUCGACGAAAAAUUACAAUCCAAACAAAGCCUAAAUUCCCCGUAUUCUCUCCAGAUUUACUUUUUCCCCUUGAAAGUACCCUGCACAAGGUGUUAAUAAUGACCUUGUCAAAUCAUGCACCUCACAGUUCUCAACUAGACUUGAUUUCAAGUGGUGGGAUGGUGGGGUUUCAUUCCUCCGGCACCAUUUGUUUGUUUAGGGGCGGCAUCUGCAGAGGAUUUCACAGCACAUUCAGAUGGGCAUCAUAUGCAAGACUGCCCUCUUCACUUUGCUUCCCAGUAAUCCAGUACUGUGUAUAUGUUCUCACUCAGCUUUGAACCCUUUUUUUUUUUUUUUUUCUGUAUUAAUCAUCUCCAUCAUUUCCAAGAGAAAUAAACCAGCUUCUAUCGAUCCGGUGAAAGAGCUAUCUGUGUACAGCACUUAAUUUGUAUAUACAGUUGCAAAUUAUGCUUGUAUAAAUCAGCAUAGUGUAGUCAUUCUAUAGGGGAAUUGAAUAAGCAUAAACAAGAUAGCCCCAAGUGAUUCAUUUUACAGAUGAAAACUAAGCUGUAGUAUCUUUAUUUAGCAUAAGGUACAGGAUCCUUUUUGGGUAGCUUUUCUCUCAAUGUUUCUAAUAGCGGAGAUAGGUACUUUUUCUCCAUGAACUGAAACAGUAAUUAGCAUUAGCCAUUCAAUUUUGGGAAAGUACAAUGAAGGUGGCAUUUGGUUUUGAACCAUAAUUAAUAAAGCACCGACCAGAUUCGUCUUUAAAUAAAAUAUAUUGAACUAUCUGAAUUAUUAGUAUUUCUUUAUUUGUGUCAAAGCCCUCCCAUUGACAUUCACAUCUACUAAAAAGAAGAAAAUGAUUCCGCCAGAGCAAGAAUCGCCAGACAAUAGAACUGCAACCAAUAAAAAAAAAAAAGUACAGCAGUAUUUCCACAUCGCCCAAAACAUGUUAAUUGUCCGGACACCUUCCAACAUGGCAGCUUAAUUGAAAAAUCAAACGCGAUUAAAUUUUGUUACCUUAUCUAACUUGAGGGUAUAGGAGAAUUAAUAUUUCAAAUUACUCAACCUUUUAUCUGCCAUAAACUGAUGUAUAUUGGCCAUAAUAAACCUCUUAGCGAAACACUUAAGAUUACUAUAUAUAUGUACAGUUAUUUAUAGAUUUUGUACUCAAAACCUCCUACUUACUUACGGGUUACCGUCUUUCCCCAAUCCAACCCUUCUCAGAAGCGGUUAAGUUGAAGCGGUAUGAAUUUGCACCACAGCUCAUUGACAGUUUGACGCCAACCAUGCUAACUUCCAUGAAAAUGGAAAUGUAUGGCUGGAUGCGACCUUUCCAAGAAAAACCAAACUUGGAGGCAAGGGGAAGUAAUCUUUUCUUGCACAAUGUAGACAUGGAAAUAGACGACCUUAAACCUCUGUUUUGAAAUUCGGACCGGACCGGCCGAUCGAACCGGAAACCGACCAGAUAGUCGGUUCGAAUCAUACUAAAAAAUCGGGAAUUUAAAACCCGGUCAAAGUCGGUCAAAAACCGGAUUUGACCGGAAAAAUCGAUUUUUCCAGUUCAACAGUGUUUUUUUAUAAAAAAAUUCAAACUUUUUAAUAUUAUGUUUUGACCCCCUAAAUUAUUAAAACUUAUUGAUAUACCUCAAAUAUUUGAUACUUUAUAAAUAUUGUCCUAAAUUUUGAUGUUAUUUUUCAAUUUAAUUUAUAAUUUUAAUUCUAAACUUAUUAAUAUUUAUUAAAUAAUAUAAAUUGCUACUUGAUUGUUCUAAUUUCUUUGUAUUUUCUUAUUAAAUAUAUUUGAAACAUCAAAUAUAUAUGAAUAUACCUUUAUUAAUAUCAACAUAUUAUUAAAUAUUAUAUAUAUAAUAUUUUAAUUUUUAAAUAAUUUUUAUUUAUGACGUCAUCCGGUUUGACCCCUAUCGAUCCCCGGUCGAACCCAUUGACCCCUGACCCCUGACCUCGGCCGAGUUGCUAUCCGGUCCGAUUCUGAAAACAUAGCCUUAAGCCCCCUUUUUUUUGGGGGGGGGGGGCUUUUUUUUGGGGGGGGGGGGGUUUGGACUUUUCUUUUGUGGGGGUAUUCCGUCUUCGUCAAUGGGAUCCUAGUAAUGAUUUUUGGUUCAUGCACAUGAAGAAUCAUUCACAGCCACGUUACAUGAACUAACCGUCAAAUACUUUGAGAGCUUAGGUUAGUUUAUUAGGAAUGAGAUCCUAUAGGACCCGCAUAAGCAUGGCACUUAAAGGCAUAUACUAAUUGACAACAAAUUUUAAACCACAGACAGGGAAAAAUCAAAAGUUGUCUCCUCAAGUGAUGGCCCUCCAUUGUUUAAAGCCACUUCUUUAUCAAAAGGGUGUCUUUUCCUAUGGUGGUAUUAUUAUUUGAAUUAUUGGGAUGUUAAUUGGUAAAAGGCUGUUCUCUUGUUGAUCCUGUCAUCAUUGCAUUCUAAUUCCGUUUCAAAGUUGAAACGAUUUAAUAGAGUACUAAUGCUCAUUCAACAAACAGAAGCGCUGCUUAGUGUUGAUGGUGAUAUCAAUAAAUUUUGUUAAUUCUAUCACUUUCCCCUGUUCUCUUUCCACCCUUAACUAUGAUUUAUUAGUCACAAAACUCAAAUCCCGAACCUUAAUUACUGUAUGCAUCAACAAAAUAAAUUUACUAAUUGAUGUGAUUGAUUCCCCAACUAGAACUUUUUAGGUCUCAUUCUCAACCAAGAUGUUUUUUCUUACAUUCUAUAUGCAUUGCAUACAACCACCUGCCUUUGGCCCGAUGACCACCACCAAUGCAUUAAGAUUUGGUGAUCAAUUUGCCACAACAAUUAAAUGUGGACAUACUUAAAAAAUCCAGACGGAUGCGUAGUGCGGUUCAGUCUCCUCCGAAUUAUCCCAGAACCUCUUCAGGCCCUCCCCUCCCCAUAGUGCAUGAAACUAUUGUAUCGAAAAAAAAAAAAAAGAUAUACAUUGCAUACAUCUCAUGCAACAACAAAAAUUAGGACGGGUAAAAAAUUGAGAAUUGAGGUAGAUUUGCCGAAUCAGUAUUCACAUUACCUUUAAUUUAUCAUUGAAAUAACUUUGCUUAUUCUUCUGGGACAGAACAAAUGUGACGAGACAGGUUUCUUGUGGAACAAAAAUCUAAUCGAACGAAUUAGCGCGGAGACAAAAAGAAAAAGUAAGAUUAAACUACUGUGAUUGGAGAAGUAAACUUUUGAAGAAUCUUUGUGAAAAGAAUAAAGUAAUCAUGGAAUGAGAGAAGCGAGAAAAAAUUAUUAAAUCAUUGGAAAAUUUUGAUAUCCAAAUUUGCUUUUCACUUUUGAUUUGUUUUCUGAAAAGAAACGUAAGCUAAUGACAAUCUGCUAGAUCCACUAGCUUUCACAGCAGAUCCGCCAGACAUCUUUAGUUAUAGAGAGAUAGACAUCUGAACACCAUUUUCUGCCAAUGCACACAAAGUAAAUAAAGGUAUGAAUUAGUCUAAUCAAAUCGAAUAUUUUUAUAUUUAAAUUUAUUCAAUUAUUUUAAUAAUUUUAAAAAUUUGUUCAAAUAUAAUUUAUUUAUAUAUCAAAUCGAGUUUGAGCGAUUUUUUGUUAUCAAAUUUGAAUGUUAUGAAAUAUAAAAUAUUAUUCAAUCUUGACUUGAUUAGUUAGCAAAUCAGGAUCAAACAAACUCUUAUCAAAUUGAGCUUCAAUUAAUUUGAGCAUGGAAUAAUUUGACUCAUCUUUCAAUCCGAGACGCUAAAUGAACAUUGGGCCAUCGCAACUUUAAAUUUGAUCGGGCUUGAGAUGAACUAGAGGUGGCAAUAUGGAUAAAUGAUUCAUAAUUGGUUUUGACUUAAUGGAUGGUGGAUAAAAUUUAUCCAAUCCAUUUAGAUCCAUUUAAUAAAUGGAUCUAAAUGGAUUAAAUAAAAACCAAUUAUCCAUUUAUAAUCCAUUUAAAUAUUUUUGUUACUUUUUUUUUGUAUUACCAUUUCUUGUAAAUUCAAGCCACAAAAUACCACGGAUGUAAAUUCAAGCAAAAUGAACCUUCAUUUCACUAAAAAACUAUCUGAAAUUAUUAUUAUUAUUUUUUAUUAUUAUAUUAUUAUAUAUGUAUAUAUAUAUUACAUAUUACAGAGUAGCCAUAUAUUGCAAACUAGCCCAAACAAUAGAAGUCCUGCAUAGACCGUACGUAGGGUAUCUACAAAUUCGGCAUCCAUGGAAUUUAAUUAUGGCCCAUAUUAUCUUCUACUUUUAGCCUUGACUGCAUUUAAAUUUAUCUCAAAUUCGGCAUUUCCCUCUCAAUUAAUUAAGUCCAAGAACAGAUACCAGUUUUCUGUUGUACUUUAAAAAAUAAGAGAGAUCUUAGAACAAGUAAAAGUUCAUAGAUAUAUGAUUCAAGUGGAUUAAUUAACCGAUUUGUAAACUUAUUAAUGUGUUUGUUACCAAAAAGAAAAUGAUCAAAUUUACCCCUCCUAAUUCAAAAUCCUCUCAUGGUCUGAUGUUGACCCACUUUCUUAGCAAAUGAAUUAGAUUUCACUAAGUGAAGAAUUAAAAUAAACUAGUAACUCACCUUAUUCAAAAAUGCAUUUAAAUGAAUAACUAUAUUUUUCUUGUUCUAGUUACUAGUUCAUGUAAGCAAAAUUUUCACACCCCAAUUGCAAUUUUAGGAUGGCUCCUUUUUUAGUCAUUUCCUUUCCCUCUCUUUUAUUUGGUUUUUAAGUAAAUGGAUAUAUAUGAUUUUAGUGGAUAAUCCAUAUAAAUCCAUUUAAUUUAAUGGUUUUACUUUGAUCAACCAUUUAAAACCAAUACUAUAAAUGGAUAAUCCAUUAUCCAUUUAAUUAUGAAUUAUAUGGAUGGAUAAAUGGAUUUCAAUCCAAAUUGCCGCUUCUAAGAUGAACCUACUUUAAGUCUUGCCUCCACCGAUAGUAUUUAUUAAAGUUAUGAUCCAUCUUUUGAUGCGCACGACCACGUUUUGUCAGGGUUUAUCCUGCUUGCUUUUACGGCUGAACAUGAGGAAAAUCUGUUUUAACAAAUUUCAAAAUGAUGGCUCCUCCAGUUUGCCUAUGUUUGGUAUCGCUUCUUCAAUUGGUAUACUUUUUCAUCGGAUAUUACCCAAGAUUUUAUUUUAUCUGAACCAAAAAAACUACCAUAUUUCCUAUGUAUUAAAGCACCAUUAUCUUUUAGUACAAUUACUCUAGUAAUUUCUAUCAUCAGCAAAAGAAAAUACAUACUCAUGUUUCGGACGCCAGUGUUGUUGUUGUUGUUUUUUUUUUAUUAUGUGCUAGACAUCAUCUUCAUGAAUAACAUAAAAAGCCAUUAAGAUAAUGAUAGCGCUGUAAUUUGAAAAUUAAAGAGAGAAUAAACAUCAAGAAAAUUUGAAAACAACAAUAAUUCUUCCCCACCCGCUUAUUCACUUCUCGUGUCUAAUGCACAUUAAAGAAAAAAGAAAAAGAACAGAGUCUAAUAAGGUGAUUAGUAUAACCAAAUAAAAACCUAUAAUGAUAUGUUUCUUUCAAACACAAUAGAUUUAGUUAAUUUUCAUGCAGAUAGAUUAGUAAUUCUGAGAUCAAAUGAAAUAUUACAUAUUACAUAUUAAUUGUUGAUGAGAGCUAAAAAACUUAACGCCACAACAACAUAAUGCAAGUCAAUUAGGGAGAAUUGAGUUGGGUGAUAAGGUGGGAGGGAUUAUAAACAAGAGAUUUUAGGUUCAAAUCCUCUUACUUAUAAAAAAAAAAAAAAGGAGAAAAAGAAAGAAAAAAGUCAAUUAAAAACUGGCACUUGGUUCCGCCCAUUUAUAUCCGGAGAAGCUUUGGACCAGAAGAAAAAGGCCGGAGCACAUAGAGAAAUGCGUAGUUCCAAAGGGUCCAAUCUCAAUGGCCCAAGAAGUCUAAUAUCCAGACCCUGUAUGAACCACCCAUAUCCUGAUCGGCUUCAGCACAAAAUUAUGGGUCCAAUCUCAAUGGCCCAAGAAGUCUAACAUCCAGACCCUGUAUGUAGGCCUGUCAAUCGGGCCUAAUGAGCCGGGCUUCGGGCUAUGAGUUUCGGGUUCAUAAAUGUGAAGCUCAUACUCAACUCACAUAAUAUUCGGGUUGUGAGUCUUAAUCGGGCUUAGCCCAAGCUCACUUAUUACUCCUGAAUUUUCUUAAUAUAAUUACUAUAACUAUUAAGUUGUAAAACUAAUUUAACAUUUACAAGACUAUAAUAUUAAAACUAAACAUGAACAAAUAAUAGUUCUUAAAAAGUAUAUAAACCAAAAUUUUUUCAACAAUAUUUAUAUGUAAUCCGUUUAAAAUGCAUGAAAAAUAGUAAUAAAACAUGCAAUCAUAAGCCAAUACAUCUUUAAAAGUUGAAACUUUUUUUUAUAAUCUUGUGAUUUAAAUCCAAAUAUGCUUGAUGAUUUUUGUGUUUGUAGACCAAAAAAAAAAAAUCAACCAAUAAUAUGCCAAUACAAAAAGUUACUCAACCAAUAAAAAAAAUUAGAGAUUUAGUUAUGCAUUACUAAUAUUGGCUCUCAAGAAAGCUCAUGAAAGAGUCUUUAGAUGUGUUUUUGUGUUUUGUAAUUUAUAUAUAUAUUUAGCAUUUAGCAAAAAUAUAUUUGGAUAUAUAAUUAUACAUAAUAUCAAAAUAUAAAUAUUAUAUAUAUAGGUAAUUAAAGGGCCGGGCCUAUAUCGGGUAUGAGUCUAAUAAGGCCCAAGCUCGGCUCAUAUUUAAUUCGGGCCUAAUUUUUAGGCUCAAACUCAGACCGGUUCACUAAAUGAUCAGGCUCAUCGGGCUUUUUGUUGGGCCGAACGAGCCGAGCUCGGGCUGGCCCAGCCCCAUUGACAGUCCUACCUGUAUGCACCACCCAUGUCCUGAUCGGCUUCUGCACAAAAUUAUUGUAGUCCCCCAUGUACUCGAACCCCUCUCUCUCCAAUUAGAACCCUCGCUAACCAAAAAAUAAAAUUGUAAAACCCCGGAUGUCUUUUCCAAUCUUGUCUUGAGGAAAAAGAAAAGAAAAGAAAAGAAAUUAAAUUAAACCUGAAGUACUUCUACUGAGGGCAACCAAUACUCCUCCAUUGCGUGCUUAGUGUGUGAAAUCGUAAUAACAAUUCGAGGAAGAUUUUGAUCGGGAAAUCUAACUAAAGAUGUUUCGCAAUCAAUACGAUACGGAUGUGACGACAUGGUCGCCGGCGGGGAGGCUAUUUCAGGUGGAGUACGCGAUGGAAGCGGUCAAACAAGGUUCGGCGGCGAUAGGGCUGAGAUCGAAGACUCAUGUGGUUUUGGCUUCCGUUAACAAGGCCAAUUCCGAGCUAUCUUCUCACCAGAAGAAGAUCUUCAAGGUCGAUGACCACAUCGGAGUAGCUAUCGCCGGACUCACCGCCGACGGCCGCGUUCUCUCCCGUUACAUGCGGUCUGAGUGUAUCAAUUAUAGUUAUUCUUACGAGUCUAAGUUACCUGUCGGACGCCUCGUUGUCCAGCUUGCUGACAAGGCGCAGGUUUUGUUUUGUUUUUUUUUUUUUCCCUCUCUUCGUUCGAUUUAUUUGAUUUUUUUAAUUUUAUGCUGUAUCUGUUAGUACACCUAACUUUUUGUCAUUCUGUUAGUUUGUAUUUGUUCUAUGGAAUUUCAGUUUGUGAAGUUUUAGUGGACACUUAGGGAUAGAGUUUUAGAAGGGAGCACUUAGUGGAUUGAAGCUGGAUAAUGAAAAUUUUUUGUUCUUUGUGAUUUUUAGGUUCAAUCUGAUCGGAUAAUUAUGAGAAAAUGGUUUAUCGGAGCCAAAUAGUGUCGCUUAGUUUCUUAUGGAUAUUGGACAUACCUUCAGUGAGGACCAUGUCUCUGUGGUGCAACGAGUGCUAAAUUGGGUGAGCGAAUGCCUGAGAGGUGGUGGUGUUUCUGAUCCAAUUUAUGGCUAUUCGUCUAUCAGCUGUGCCAUGGUUGAAAUAUAAGUUUAAUUUUGUUGUCCUUUUAACAUAAUCCUAAAGUCACAACAUUUAUGUCUCACAUGCUACAUUGUUUGUUCAAUACAAAGUAAAUUGAGAUUUUCUUAAUGUGCUUGCUAGCACACACCUUUGACAUGCUAUAUGAUGUAACAUGAAUUAUUACUGUCUUAAGAAAAGAAAGUAGAAAUUAUUAAUGUGAUAUAGAUUGGACUAAGUUAGCUUUUGUCUUGGUUCAUCAAAGUUUACGGUAAAUUAAUUGGUGCUUCUUGUGUAAAUAGUUUUCCUCCUUUGGAAUUUUUUUGGGUAACAUCGAGUGUGUUUGGAUAGGAGAUUAUUUGAAAUAUUAUUUAGAAUAAUUACUGUAGCACUUUUUGCCAUAUGAUGUAUGUGAGAUAAAAAUGUGAUUGAGAAGAUAAAAAAAAGUGUGUUGGAAAAUGUGUUGCUUUACUUUGAUAAACUUUUGUUAUCAAUUCCCAUUGUUCUGUUUUUUUUUUUUGGUGGAUGGUCUUUUCUUGGAAAAAGUUUGUAGAUAGGUGGCAUCUGAUUACUGUCUAUUCAUGGACUGACCCUUAUUUUUCUGUGAAAUUGUUUAGAUGGGUUAUUAACAUAUGCAUUGAUUAUACUGUUACCCAAACAAAAAAGAAAAAGGUAAUAUAGCUUACCUGUUAACAAGUUUACGCAAUGACAAUAUAGCUCCUGAAGCUGCAAAAUUUAGGCUUGAAGCUGUUUGAAGGUCCUGAUUUGUGAUAUCAUAGUGUAGUGACUGGCAGGCUAUUUAGUGACAAAUUACUCUGUGUUCAUUUAAAAAGAAAAACAAAAGAAAAGAAAAGAUGUUGCUUCUUUGGGGUUUUGUUCAAUUUCAGAGCAGCUCACGGGAACUGAACCCGUGAAACCAUCAUGUCUAGGCUUUGAAAAAAGAAGAGGGGGGGGGGGUUGCUGUUGUUACAAUUUUUCUUGGGGAAAUUGUUUUGCAAAACUACUGUCACUAUGUAAUGACCUUUGCUUGUUUGGGUUGAGGGGUUGCAUGGUUUGUGCUCAGUCCAGCUUUGCAUGUGUUGGAAAUGUUCGAGUCAGUCUGAUGUAUGGAAUGCCUUAUUAUUUUGUCAUUCAUGUUUUCUAGUUGCCUGCUCCAUCUCUAACCCCCCCCCCCUCUUUUCCUCUCUCUGUAUAUUAAUUUUUUUUGGCACACUUGAUGAUCAAACCUGACUCUUGAUGGAUUGACUUUUGAACCAGGGUAUUACCUUAUUGCUACUAGUGUGACAGAAACAAAGUUGGCUAAUGGCUUUCUUUGUAAAGGUUCUACUAGUGGAUAACGUCAAGAUUGUCUACAUAUAAUAAUAGUUUGCAAGUCACAUUUGUACUUCUAUCAGCAGUAUGGAGCACCUUUGGAGUAUUGUCUUGUGGAGUCUUAUUGUUGCUUCUAUAUAACUUGUGCUGCCCAAUAUUCUGAUCCAACAAUGCGAAGUAAUUUGGAAUAAACCUUAAAUUUUAUGCUGGUUGCAUGUAGAACUGUUAUUCUUAAGAUUCUGGUGCAUUGCAUGGUACAUACACUGCCUGGUCCAUCGGUUCAAAUAUCCUGGCUGUUUACAGUUGUCUCCUCAGGAGCUGAGCUUGAGGAGCUAUCCUCAAACUUUGCAUGAUUUUCAUGUUGACCUUGUUAUUUUAUUCUUUUGAAUUUGUUGAUGUAGGUUUGCACGCAGCGCUCCUGGAAACGGCCGUAUGGUGUUGGUCUGCUGGUAGGCGGUUUAGAUGAAUCUGGAGCUCACCUUUACUACAAUUGCCCUAGCGGUAAUUAUUUUGAAUACCAAGCAUUUGCAAUGGGGUCUCGAUCACAAGCAGCAAAGACAUACAUGGAGCGGAAGUUUGAGACUUUCACGGAGUCCUCACGAGAGAAUCUUGUCAAAGAUGCACUUUUUGCAUUGAGGGAGACCUUGCAAGGAGAAAAGCUGACAAGCUCCAUUUGCACGGUUGCUGUGGUAGGAGUAGGCGAGUCAUUCCACAUAUUGGACAAGGAAACUGUACAAGCACUCAUCAAUGAAUUUGAGAUAGCAGGCGAAGAGGAGGCUCCUGCUAAUGAGGCUGCUCCCCAGGAUCAAGGGGGUGAUGCUCAAGCAGGUGCCGCUGAUCAGGGGCCUACUGAUCAAGGGGUGGCGCCAAUGGAUAUAUGAUGGUAUUUGGGAGGAUGAGAGUUACUCUUUGAUGAAUGAUGGGAUCUGCUCGAGCUGUAGACAAAAAAACAUGUUCUUGUUGGAUAUUUGAUUUUCAUUAUGCGGUCUUUUGGUGCUUCACUAAUGCAAACAUGUUAAACUUUCUUCUCUUAGACCCCAAGCUAAAUUAUUUUCCAGAAUGAGUGUCUGCUUUCUGGUUGGACAUUGCUGCAUUAUGUAUUGCCUUUUAAUAUGUCUUGCUCUAAAGGGAGAGGAGCUUUAGUUAUUUGUGACAAAAAUUCUAUUUUAUUGUCAUAGUUGUUUUCCUUUGAGGAAAAAAUUGGAAUAAAUUAGAUGUGUAUGUAUUAAAAUGAAAAAAAUGACUGCCAUAAAAUAAAACAAAAUAAUUGACAAAAUAAAAUAAAAAGAAUUCCAUAGUUUUUUUUCUUUUAAAAAAAAAAAAAAAAAAAAAAAAGAGUAAACAGCUAACUAGAAAUAACUGAAUGUGGUGGAUCAUUAACACCCCACCAAUGAUAUAACGUUCUGACAAUUUAAGUAUUUACUUUACCUCAUGUUUAUCAAUUUUGUUUGUUACUUCUAACUCGAUAUAUACACAAUACAUUUCUGGUAGAGAGUCAACACUUGGCAUUAGAGUUUGAGUCAUGAUUCAUCUCAAAAGGUCAAGAUUUAUUUUUCGAAAAACAUAUCCAUAUAGGAGCACAAAAAUUAAAAACAUUUUUACAAAGCUUGAUUAAAAGAACCCAGAAAUAUAACAAUAAUUCCAUUCUGAAGCUAAUAAUUCCAAAGAAUUGUAGUAUCUCAAAAGUGUCAUAUUUUGUAUUAAUACAAUCACGUGCAAUGCACGUGAGGCAUUACCAGCGUGUUAAGAAGCGGAAUCAGCAGGUUUUGUCUAGCAUCAUCACUACAGGCAUCCCACUGUUAACAGGAUGUUAAAAGUCCAGAAAGAUUGGUGAGAUGUUCGAAAUUAUUCCUUGCAGGGCUAAGGAAAUAUAUUAUUGUCUUUCAAUUGGACAUCCGCUACCAUUUUAUACAUCUUGUCGGUAUCCAAAUCCAAGUUAAGCUUUCAUGAGUCGGUGGCUCAAGCAAGUACGGUACUCCAACUUUUGGAGUGCCAUCCAGUCACAGAUCAAUAAAUUCAGUUAAAACCAGUACAAACAAGAAACUAAGAUUGCUUAAACAAUGGCAUUAUGCCGUAACAUAGGAUUAAAACUUUCUACAACUUUCCAAUGGAAAGAGUGGUUGAUAAAUCAAAAAAAUAAAAAACAUUAUGAGGGCCUUUCCUUAAACAUGAUGGCCAAGUAAAAGAAUCAUCUAACAGCAAUACCAAUAAUCUUCAACUCCGUUAGGAGUCGGAAUUUGCCGAAUCUGGGACUGGAAGUCCCUUGUUUCGCAUCUGUGUGUACAUCCACUGC